RNAcentral lists this long non-coding RNA (56530 nucleotides) under Coffea arabica (coffee). RNAcentral's name for it is "long non-coding RNA (CARA_LNC001727)". Lineage: Eukaryota; Viridiplantae; Streptophyta; Magnoliopsida; Gentianales; Rubiaceae. The record is from RNAcentral.
UUUUUUUUUUUUUUUUUUUUUUUGGGUAUUGAAGGAUGGAUAUGGAUGCAUGAUGUAGUAGUAGUAGCUAUCUAUCAAUCAAUAUAGUAGCAGUUAGUUGUAGAGAGUAAGCAAGUAGUAUCAUGUAGUGUUGUUUUUGUGUGUCCCGUGGUUCAAGGCAUGCUUUAAGAAAGGUUGUCUAUUUGUGCCCUUUUUAAUGAUUUCAUUCAAAACCACAUUGAUGAGACUGAGAGGCGUGGGGAGGGGGGGGGGAUCCCGGUGGUGGUGGUGGUGGGGGGCUUUGUGGGUUGGGUGGUGGAGGGAAAUCUGACUCUGACGACUUGUUUGUUUGUUUGAUUGGCUUUGCCAAUUGAAUUGAAUUAGUAUUGAUGGCAGUUGUGUUAGGGGGGGGGACGAAGAUGGCAUAUUGAUGAAUGUGUCUGGAAAAGUGAGGAACCCUUUUAUGACCACCAAUUAUGAGUACACACGGGCCAAGUACAUUCUUCAUUAUUGAUGAUGAUUCCUAACGUUGCUGGGGGCACGUGACUUCUCACGUGACCUGCAUUGGUUUCUUUCCUUCUUUCUUUAGUUCCGUCCUUUUGGCUUGGGAAUUAGGGAUUUCCUCUUGGGAUGGGAAGUGCUAAUAAAUACACGCCCCUCCUCCUCCGUUUUGAUAGUAGUGCAUAUUUAUGAUUAAGCAUGAUGUCACUUUGGUCUCUUCUUCUCCUAGUUUUUAUUUGACAAACAUGCGUCAAUAUUUUACAUUAACGUGGAGAUUUCUCAUAGCAUCAUACAUCAUAAAUAAUGUGCUCGUCUAGAUCUUUAGGUGAUUAUUGAAUAUACCACACGGUUCUUUUUAUUUAUUUUGUACUCUUUUCUUCUCUAUUUUUUUAAAAGACAAAUGAAAACACCUCUAUUUUUUUACGAGUUAAUCUUAUAUAUAUUGACAGCGUGUGUAUAUAUAUAUACACUAUUACGGCUAGAUGCAUGACACGUGUAAAAUUUGAAUUAUGUGUCGUGCAUCUAAAAUGAUGAAAGUGUGUAACACUGUCAAUAUACAGAAGAAGAUUAAUUCUUAUUUAUUUUAUUUUAAUGAGAAGGAAAACACAACCGGAUUGUAUUGUAAUUUGUAUGGAAGGGGCUAAAGGAAUGAAAAUGGUAGAUGACUGACUAUUCAAUAAUGUUGAAUGAAAUUGGACGUUGUUCUUGCAUUUCCCAAGAGUCUCAUUAAUUGGGAUUGACUGCCAGGGUUUCGUUAUCCUGGUAACGUUUUCAUACUCUUGUGGGUUUUGACAACACUCGUGACUGCUACUUCUUUAUCCUUCUUUCCUGCAUUGAAUUAGUCGUUGAAAGCUCAAUUUGGGAAAAUUUGAACUAUCAAUUUUCUAAGAUUAGUUAUCAGGUUUGUGUGGGGAUGGUUGAACGUUGUAUAAUUGCAAGCACAUUUUAUUUGUUUUUCUUUGACCUAAAAGUUUGGUCUUUUCCAAUUGAUAGAUAUUCUGUGGACUCGUACGAGUCAACUUUCGAACCAAAAACAUGAUGUCUAAAUAACAAUGAGGCGUAUUCUUUUUAAUUUUCAUUAUAUGUCUCUGUUUGGAUCCAUCAAUUUUGCAAAAUUUAGUUUUUCAAAUUCUAUAAAAAAAAAAUUUUAAAAAGUGCUCUAGAAGGUACUUUAAAAAAUAGUCUAAUUUUUUUUUAAUGUUUAAAAAAUAUCCCUAAAUAUAUUCUAAAAACUCUGUUACUUUUAAAUAUCCCGAAAUAUAUUCUAAAAAUAUCUCAACAUAUACUAUAAAAACUCUGCUAUAGUAAAAUUUUUCAAAAAUACCCCCAAAAACAGUUAAUUCAAACGGAGCAAAAAUUCUGUGAACAACUCAGUGGGAUCUUUUAUUGGUAAUAAGCACUUGUUAAAAAAAAAAACACACAAACACACACACACAAACACUCCAUGUUUAUUUAAAAAAAAAAAACAGUUUAUGUGCAAUUUUUUUUUUCAUAAAAAGAAAUAUUCUUAACCGAGUAGCUAGAAAUCGUCCGGUGCGAAAUACUAAACAAAGUUGAACGGGGAAUUCCAUAGGUAUGAAUUAGAGCUUUUCAUGCUAAAACUUCACAGUUUACAUGCUAAAAGAAUUUACCAUUACUUAUGAUUAGUAUACCAUAUACAACGGCCAUGAAAUGCUAGCCGUAUAAAUUUGAUAAGUUGUUUUACAAACAAUUAAUCAACAAAGUACAAAAUGAUAUACAAUUAAUGUGAAACACCGCCAAAUUUCCUUGCAUCAAGAAGACCAAACCUGUCAAAAUCCUACAUAAUUCUAGGGUCUAAUUUCCUUUUGCAUAUUAUUCUAAACUAACAAAAGUCUACUUGUUGAACAACAGUUGUGUAUACAUAUAUGUCAUGUUUGAAUGAGCUUCGACAAAAAAAAAAAAAAAAAAAAAGGUAUUCAACAGCAGAUGCAAGCUGACUUUUGUAAAAGUUCUAGAAAACUUAUUCAAAGUUUUAGCAUUAAAUGACUUUGAGGGGUGCCAACACAGUGAGAUUUAUCAUUUGGCUGAAAAGUAAUCAUUUGGUUCUGAUCAUAAUCCCUCUUCUUGACCAUUAUUUGCCACCCCUUUUCAAGAAAAUUUUUUGGACUUUCAGGACGUGAAGAUUUGAUUUGAAUCCCCUCACAUUUCUCCAUCUCAUCCUUGAUUGAUGGACGGAAGAAAAGAGCACAGUAGGGUUUUAGGAUUCACAAAUUAAGUUGAAUAUCAGAUUCUUGCUGCUCGGAAUUCAAAUGCUUUUCGAUGUGAUACUAUUUUAUUAGUACCUUCAAAUCAUUGACCAUUACUACAUUUACCAUGUCAUCAUCAUCAUCAUCAUUUUCAUUUUAGUAUUUCUGUAAUCUCUAAUUACAUGAGAGGCACGUAAUUGAAUUCCUGGUCCUAUUUUUCUAUAUUCAUUAUAGUUUUUUCUUUUCUCUUGUGGGGUCUCAUAACUGGGAUGGUACCCGGUAGUGUAGAAGAUAAUCCUGGCUUUUACAAAAAAAAAGAAUCGUUAUCCCUAGCUAGUUCAUGUCUAUACUGGAGCUUAUUGCAUGCAAAUUAGGUUGUGUUUGGAUUGCAUUUUCCGUCAUUUUUUAUGGAAAAAUUACUGUAGCGAUUUGAUAUAUGUGAGGAAAAAAGGUGAUAGGAAAAUGUGAUCACGGAAAACGAUAAUAUUUUUCGACGACAAUAAGCAAUGCAAACAAGACCAACUAACCAACCAAAAUAUAUAGGGAAAGAAAUGGGAACAAGAUAUGAUAUUUUAGCUUUAAGUAUCCUUCAGAUUUCUUUAUAUAACAUCUGGAAAAAGGAUAUGCCCAAAUUUGUUUUUUUUUUGUUUUGUUUUGGGUUUAACAUCAAUUUUGUACUGAUAUCCAAAAUAUAUAUAUUAUUGUUUCCUCUCAAGGUCCAUUAUGCAUGGUCAACGUCAUAAGGCAACAAAAUGAUCGCUUUCUAUUUCUCUUAAUCAUCAACCUUCAUCAUCCUUAAGUGUCAUUCAUAAUAUAUUAUCUUUUAUGAGAUUGGCCGCUUCAAUCAUGAACUCAUUUGCAGACAUGUAAUCAAAACCCUACGUAGGAAUGUUACAAACAAAUAUGCAAAGAGGUAGGUGCAUGAUUUGCUUGGUGGUUGGUUGAGGCAAUGCUCCAAAUUGCAACAUGUCUAUCUCUUUGACAUCAUCAUCAUUAAUUCCUCAAUAAAGCACAUCCUUUUAGAUACAUACAUAUAUAUAUAUAUAUCCAUGGAAAUGAAUGAAUGGCUUUGUUCCAAAAGGUAAAAAGAUAAAACAAAAAUAAAGCAAUUAAUUUUAGUAUUUUUUACAUUUGAUAAAUUUUUUUUGGGGGACAUACUCGUUACAUAACCCCUUUUUUUAUAACUAACGUUUAAAGUUUUGCACGCUAAUUAAGAAAAGUUUUUCAUUGCUUAAAUCUGUACACUACUUUCCUUUUGUACCCUCAUUAAUUGUCCAAUUCACCUAUGUUUUCUCUCACUAGAGUACUAAAUGGUGCUGUUUUACUAGGCCAAAAGCAAUAAUUACUAGGAGUAGUAAUUAAGAACACUGUAUUUGAAAAGAGAGAUAAAAGGGUAAAAUUGUAAAAAAAAAUAAUUAAUACUGUAUGGGAAUAAUAAAACGACAGAUAAAAGUACACUAGAGCAAAUUUCUUAAACGUCAGUUAUAAAAAAAAGUGAGGGAGUAAUACAAUUAAAAGAAUAUUUUUUGGGACAUACCUUUUAUUGGGGCAAUUCCAAUUUCCAAAGCACAUUUUCUUUUCCAAGAAAUAUUAUUAUUAUUGAUUGGACCUUCGAAAUGAAAGGAAACUUAAGGAAAAUAGAAAACAAGAAUUGCAUGUCAUGUAGAUGUAGAUGUAGUGUCUUCCAUCAUCAUGUGUUGCCUUGCCUACCAUGAAUUACACUCAACUACAAACAGUUAUAAUUUGUAUGAUUAAACACCAGAAACUGCAUGAUUUCGUGUACCACCACAUGCAUUGGCUGUGUGGGUGUGGGAAGUCAUCAAGAAAAACCGAAACUCAUGGGAAGAGGGUCAUGAUUAUUUUUUAUUAGUGCUCUAGUUAUAUGGAGAACCGACCUUGGACCCCAUCUCAUAAUCUGGAAUUAGUAGUUAAAAGGGACUUAACCUAGUCAUCCAAAUUGCAAAGUUCAACUGCCAUUAUUACAUGUCAUCCAAUCAUUUGUGCUACGUUGGUUUGUCUAUCUCACUGAUUGCAAAGGCAUCAUCAAUUUGAAGAGAACAAAUAUAUAUAGCUUUUUUUUUAAUUAUUAUUAUGUAUUAUACAUUUUCUUUGGAGGUUAUAUAUAUAUAUAUGUAUAUAUAUACACACACACACACAACUAGUCCUUUUCUUCCCUAAGGGGGCGUCCAUAAUAAUAACAAAUGAUUUUUAAUCAUAUCAAUCAAUUAGUGUGAUACAUCUCCUUUUUCUGCAUGACUAGCCAUAGUUACGUUUUGCCUUCUGCUCUUUUACAAAGGUGACAAGCAUAUAUAAAAUUUGUAUGCCACAAAGUUUUUAUUUUUAGUUUUAUUUUUGAUAAUCUAAUCAUGAAUUCACUAGCAGACAUGAGAACAAUAUAAUUAGUUAAAUCAUUAUUCAAAUAACCCAAUUAGGAAAUCAUGCUUCUUGUUCAUUUUAAUUUACCUUUCUACUCAUUGCGUUGUGACCUCGAAUUAGGUCACUAAAUUUGUUUAAUAUUUGAGUUUGUCACUAUGUACGGCCUUGCAAACAAUAUAAGAAUUACGGAUAUCUUUUUAAUGCCAUGCCAUCGAUAAAAUGAUAAAAAAAAUAAAAAGUUAAAAAGACAUAAGUUCGAAUUGUGUCAAUAAGCUGGAUGGUAGACAUGUCUUAGCUUCUAGUUAUUUAUGUAAUUAAUUAUAUGUCACCCCAAAAACAAAAACAAAAACAAAAAAUCAAAGAAAAAGGAGCUUUUUAACCCUUUGCUAAUUGUUGACAAACUUUUCAUGCCACCAUCUACCCAUUACUUUUCACGAUAUCAAACAACGCUAUGACUGUUUUGAUUUGGAUAAGAUAACAGGUUGCACACCAAGAAGAUUGCCGCCCUGAAAAGUUGUGAAAGGAAAAUGCCUACCAGAAUUGAAAAAUCAGCCAUAAAGAAACCAUGUUGAUGUUGAUCACAUACAGCACAUUAUCUAUUAAUAAAGUUUAAUAUUGAAUGUGGCAAUUCAAUCACUUGGAUAAUGAAACCUUAAAGCAAUGCGCGAUAUUUCAAUGUUUAUGUUCUUGACACUCGACACUCGUCAAGAUGACUUUGAGGCGUUAAUUUUUCAAAAAUACUAUAAGAUCACAUCAAAUGAGUAUCUAAUUAAAUACAAGAGAAACAAUAAAUAUGAGUUUGUGCAUUCAAAUGAUAAUUUUGACAAGGCGUUGUUUUUUUUUUUUUUUUAAACACAGGGACAAUCUCAGUUUUGCCAUACUAAUCUCCCUACGUCUGUGCAUCCCGCUUCCCAAGGAUACACAAGCGGUAGAGAGGUGACUCAAACACACGAUCUCGGGACUUAACUAGACUAUUUCGAAACCAUCGGAACCAACUCCAAGAGGCACAAGGCGGUAUUUAAACAACACUUCUUUUAUAGAUCGAACCGCCACGAUUUGAGUAUAUAUAUUCCAGGUAGGUAUUGUGUGAAAUGAAUCAAUGAACAAGAGAUAUUUUGCAAAUCAAUCUUAUUUUGUUAAAAAAUAAUAAUAAUAAUAAUAAUAAUUAGCAAGGGAAAGAGAAUUUAAACCUAUCUUUUCAAGAUUGAAAAAUCCAUGUAAUGACGAAACAAGACAGGAAUGUGAAUGUCCUCGAAAGCUCAAGGAAACUUUCAUGCAGCCCCCCUUAAUGGGGCCUGACAAAAGGUGGCUCUUUCCAUACGCAAUGUAUAAUGAUCUGGACUCCCAGUGGAAGACGUUGAAGAGUAGAAAAUUGGAGGAGAAUACACAAUCUGGACUCCCAAUAGAAAUAUUAUUGAAGAGUUGAAAUUUGAGGGAGAAAAAAGCCAUCUUACAACUGGUUUGACUACGAGACUUCAACCCACUUUUAUCCGUUGAAUUUCAUGUAUAAACAAAUGAUUCGAGGAAAGAAAAUUUGAGUUUGGAUAGAACAAGCACCAAACUUUGUUAGUAUAUUUGAAGAUUUGAGGCGGCAGCAUAAUUAGUUGGUGGACUCGUUAGAAGAAUGUUAUAUAAUGUGACCAUCAUUAUUCUUGAAAAAUUUGCAAGCGCACUAAUUACACACUUAUUCCCAUGUAACAAGAAUCAUUAGAGAGCAAAGCUUAAUGCAGUUACUGUACCAUUUCUUCAUAUAUGCCAUGUGCAAAUUUAGAAAUAUCAGCUCACAAACAAAGUUUUAGUUAUACUUUAGUUUUUAUUUCAAAAUAUCAUGUAAUGCAGUUGAAGUCCAAAAUAUCAAAAUCAAAAUAACUCAAGAGUGGAAAAAAGGUACGUCUUCCGACGUGCCAUUUACGCCAUAAUUAUCAUACGUAUGCACAUACUCAUUUUCCUUUUCUACUUUUUUUCGCAUUUAAACACUUUAUGUGCUUAGUUUUAUUUUUUUCCAAAAAAAAAAAAAAAAACUAAUAGUUAAGACUCCUCUUAAUAAGUUUUCAUUAAGCACCGGUUAGUAAGAACGUAAACGAUUCUAAUCAAGUCGAACGUUCUAGUGUUCAAACUUAUUUGAUUAUUUUAACGAAUUUAAAGUUUUGUUUAAAUAUGACUUAUUUAUUUGACGAACCGAGUUUUAUCGAAAUUGAAAGCUAUCGAACGUAAUAUGCCGUUCAAGUCUGUUGUGACUAAUUGGCAAACCAACUUCUAAUGAUCUCUUACCAACUCGAUUCGAAUAUUGAGUAGUUUGAUUCGUCUUUUAAUCCUAUCGAUUUCGGUGUACGGAUAUUUCAUGACAUAACUAUUGUAAUUAUUAAAUAUAUUUAACAAGACUAAAAGAUCUCAACUUCCUUUCUUAUCAGCCAAGUGCAUUCCACACAAUUCGCAUGUAGUGGAGGCAGAUGAUCGCCAAAUGUGCAAAUAAACCGAAAGGUCAAAAAACUUAAUGACCACGAAAUGUGAAGGGCUAAAUUGGAUUUGGUCCACCGUGUUUCGCAAUCUAUGAUGGAUUUUUAGGUUGACAAAGCAAUUUUCAAUAAUACCGUUUACGCGUGUUCGUGAUCUUCUAAUAUUUUUCUGGGAGAAAAUUUUCCUUGUUUGACGACUGAUGAUUACUUUGUCAUUAUUGCAUGUUUGAAAAAGUAAAUCCUUUGCUCUCCACCACUAAUCCUUGUAUUCCUGACUUAUCACCAUAACGCCACAAUUAUAUAUUUUUCUAGCCCAAAGAUGACAAGUAUUAAAGAGGACUUGAAGGAACAAUCAUCAAAUCAGAAACAUGCCUUGAGGAGGAAGUAAUUCUUGAAGUAUGCAUUUUCUCCGGUGCUAUCAUCAACAAUGUGGUGGGCAUUGGGAAGAAGAAGAGGAGGUGUUGCCCAAGUGGUUGAGAAGUAUACUUUUUUUUUUUUGUCACAAAAAAAAAAAAAAAAGUGGUUGAGAAGUAUACAGUUGACUUUCUUAUUAAUUCUUUUAUGGUUGACUGGAGGAGAAUCAACAUAAUCUAAUGGUCAACUUUUACUAAUUCCUAUAUUAAGUACCACAAAUGACCAUUCUCCCAGCGAUCAAAGGGUUUUGUUUGCACACCACAACCACCCCGAAGUCAGACUGCGGGUCCAGUCUGGAGUUCUUUAGGUUGAUUUUCAUGGAACAACUGCUGCCGCCAGUAUAGACUGCAAAUAUACAAACAGCAUACACACAAUACAUGCAUCUUUGAGGGAAGAAAAAAAAAAUAGGGGCAAAUGCAGUUUUAGGCCCUGCUUGAUCGACAUUUUCAGAUCUUAACAUAUUUAGACGCAUUUGAUAGUUAAAAAUUGAACAUUUGAAUUAAUUAGGUGACAUUGAAUUUUCUAGGCAAAACUUACUCUCGAAAUUAAAUGAUAGUCUAUUCACGUAUUGUUCAGUAUGAUAUGCAUUCAAAUGUAUCAAAUUUAGUUGCGGCAAAAGUUAGUUCUCAACGUCCAGCACGUGUGCAUUUUUAGUUCCCAAAGUUUUUGACAAGAAUACAUAUGGUCUCCCGCUACCAAUUUGAAGCAGAUUAAGGACAAUUAAUGGAUUUUCCAAAUAUCAAUAUGAAAUCCGUCACGUCUUUAACAAGUCAAACUUCUUAAAAAGGAAGCAAAAUAUUUUUGAUCUUUUGCGGGGCUAAAUUUUUAAAAAUUUCAACUUUUAGAGGAGAAAUACCCGAAUUGUCAACUGCACCAAUCAGUAUUAAUCCUUCUCCAAGUCCAGGUGGUCAAAGGUUUUGGUUUACAGUAACCCCGGAGGGAGACAGCAGUGGAGUCUUUUGGGUAUAUUUCCCUGCAAUAAUUGCCGCCAAGUAUAGAAUCCAAAUAUAAAAUACAUACCCGUAUCACCGGAAUCUGCCAAGAAUAGCACACUUUCAACUCAAUUUUGAUGUAUUGACAUGUAGCCGGAGCUCCAGGUCAACUCUAGCUCUGAUUUUUUGGAGCUUGAGCCACUAGGACAAUGGCCAUGAGCUUUAAGUCUUUAACUUUGGGGUCCACAUUCUACACAUAUUCCUUACAGCUUCAUGUAGCUUCAUCAUAUACAAAUUACAUAGGUUUCAAAAUAUGCAUUAAGUUCAGCUAAUGCUGGAAUUUUCUCAGUUUUCUCACUGGCACCCGGUUAACAAAUUUCUUCAGGCCCAUAACUUCUUCACGCCUGUUACAAUUUCAACCCACAAUCCAACAGGAUUCAGGGAACAUACAAGAAUCACAUUCUAACAACAAGUUUGUUUGGAUAGAGGUUUAUUUGCCAAAGUUUAUUUGCUUACAUCAUCAUUACAAUUUCCAACACACCUUUUUAUCUUUCCAAUUACCUUUUUAUCUCACAUACAUCACAUCACAAAAAGUGCUACAGUAAAAAUAUCUCAAAUAAUUUAUAAUCCAAACAGAGCUCAAGUACAAUAAUACGUUGUAACAAAACCCUCCCCACAAAACACCCACACACACACACACAAACAUACCGAGAGAGACGCCAUACCACAUUUGAGGAGAAAAAGAAUGUAAAUGUUACAUCACCAAUUAGCUGAUAUUUUAGCGAAAAACCCUCAAUUUUACAACAGCAGAGAAGGAACUCAUCAGCUGUCCAUCCUUUACCGCCUAUGUUCUAGUAAAGCACUCAGUUUCAUGGCCAAGGCUGUAGAAAGUCUAGUAUAUCAUCUAUGCAAAGCAAUAUGAAAAUUAUCCAGAAGCAUAUUGACGUUCUAAUGCUUCAACAAACCUCCAUAUCAAACUUCCCUUUUAUGUUUAGUAAUGGCCUAAACCUCAACUCUGAUUAGGAGGAUGUCAGACCAAAUAGCUCACUUCAGUUCCCAGAGGCUGAAUCAUUUCUCAUUUGUUGCUCUACCAUCAGAGGCAAGAGAAGUGCCAAUCUGGUUUUGUAUCUCGCAAUUCGUUGCAGUCUUUCUUCUCUUAAUCUGCAACAUCCAGUAAAAAGCCGAACAGAUUUUAGUGUUCUCCAAUUAAAAGGUGAACUGAAUUAGGUAUUCACGGAGAAUGGUCAAACUAUGCAGCAGGUUGAGAGUAGAUAGUUGUAAAAUUGUUAAUAAGAAAAUGUGAAGCGAAACAGUACCCGCUCCAAUUUGAACCUUACACAUGCUGAAUUUGUCUUUGAAAGUAAUCUCAUUUCCAAUUUAUUUGCUUUCAGAUUCUGUUGAAAGAUUUAAAAUGUAGUAAUUGAUGCUUUAGUUUUGACUAGCACCAUCUAUAAAUGUUCAACACAUAAGUAACGAUCCUCUUUCCAUCACCUAGGAAAAUAAUCACACUAGGCCAAAGAAAGUCGAGCCCAAAUUUUUAUAUAUAAAAGCAGAAGAGAUUUACUAAUAGUUUCCUCUUGAAGACAAACUAGGGAAAGCUUAGCAGUAAUACUUGGAGAUGUCAAGCCAUAAAAAUUAAAGGUGCUUGGAAGCUAAAAUGUAGAAAGAAAAAAGCAAAAUCAGAUUGUCUACAGAUAGGUGCAUACAGAGAGCGCAUGCUGAGAAAACACUGUGAGAACAAGGCUAGAGUACAAUCAACUUGCUUAUCAUUUCAACGUUACCAGCUCCAAUGAAAUAUGUAGCACGAGAGUUUUUGGUUUUUAGGGCACUAUAGCGACCUAUCCUAUCCACAGGACUAAUGCACAAGAAAUUGUAUCUCGCUGGAGUUAAAUUCUCAAAAUCACAAAUUGGAAACCACCAGGAUUCAAAUUGAGGCCCUAUUUGAUAACCCAAUUUAACACUUAAACUUAAUGGAAUCAGAUCUUAACAUAUUCAGACCAUUUGAUAACCAAAAAUUGAACAUCUGAAUUAAUUAAGUAGAAUUGAAUUUUCUAAGCAAAACUUACUCCCAAAAUUAAGUAAUAAGUUAUUCACUUAUUACUGAAUGUGAUAUGCACUCUAAUGUAUUAGAUUUAAUAUUUAACAAAUUCAAUAACUUAAUAGAUUCAGACUUCAAAUUUCAGACUUCAGUUUUCAAAUUUCAGUUUUAUCAAACGCACCCUUUAGCACCAUUAAGUUGCAAAGGAUAUUCCUAUCAAGUCCAUAUAGUCAGCCAGUAGUAAACAAAGAUUUUUCAUAAGGUGACUUCCAGAAUGUCAAUAACCCAAAUGAACAAAAUUAGCAAUGCAUAUAUCAUUGAGGCAUUUGGGAAGAAUAAUUAUCAUUUAGUGACAGAUUUGAUCAUAAGAAAUCAAGGGGGAAAAGGACACUUACCGUGAUCGCACCCUCUUAGCACGCUUGAUAUGUGUUUGUAACAGCUCCUCAGAAGUUAAAUUGUCCACAGAUCCUUCUACCUGAAACUUGGAGCAAAUCCGUUCAGAUUGUUAACAGACAGAAAAAUGUACCGAUACAGGGGUUGAAACGGAUGUGUGCAUACACUGAACAAAAUUUCCAUAAAUCAGCAAUUAUUAAAGUGCAACACUCAAAAAUACACAAAGUUAAAGAUGACACAUAUUUCUGCAAUUGAAUUCCCAGAGACAGAGAAAGAAAAAUGUUGGUUAGAUGUUCCAAUAAAAAUAUAUCACAAUUCAUUAUGAUUUGCUAUGACACUAGCAGAUAUGGAUACGCACUUCACAUUGUUGCAGACAUAAAGAUCUUUUAGAGGUAUAACAAUCAUUUAAGCUGCGAUAAACUUCUGAGCUUCUGAGCUCUAACAAAACUGCUAUGAAUCUGCUCUGAAAGAGCUAUUCCCUUUUACUUACCCAACCAUCAAUGCAUAGAAGACCUCAAAUGUCACUAACCUAUUCAUACUACCCACCGGUGUCAUUAGAGCCGACACAAACAAAUUCCUACAGUACCUGUACAAUGUGAAUAUUAGCAAAAGAUAUGAGCUACAUUAUUCGUAAGGUAGCAGCAGAGAAGAUCCAAGUCCACCUGGUGCUUGAAGUGAUUAAUCUUUCUGGCAAAAACUCCUAACUUGUAUCUCCACCACCCCCACCCCCAGCCCAAAACCGAAAAAUAAAACGGGCAUUCAAGCUCUACCACCUUAACAAAGAAAGAAAAAAAAUUCUUGAACAGCAAUUCUAAACUUUUCAUUCCUUCAAAUAUAUUCCUUGACAACAAGGGAAAGAAAAGGCGUGUUUUUUUUUUUGGGGGGGGGGGGGGGAAUCCAACGGAUGGAUAGCAAAGAGCAAAGAAGAUGUUCUUAUUCCUUCAAAAUAUCUUCUUGUAAUAGCAAAGAAGAUCCAAAGGUUAUUAUCUGGAUUCCUUUGAAUAGCUACAAAUUAUGUUCCCUAAACAUUGGUUCUUCUUCAUAACCAAAAAGGCAACAAUUAAGCUCCUCUAUGCCACCAUGAAAGAAACUUAUCAGCUGAAAACAUCAAUCCUUGUCAAUUAGAUGAUAUGUUCAACCAAAUUUGAGCUAUUAUGACAACAAAAGGAAACACUUGAAAUGUCAUAUAUAAAGGUCAUGUUUCAUAGAAAGGAAAACUUGUGCUACAUUUGCAGUGCAUGAUUAAACUAACCUCCUCUUCUUCCUUAGGAUUGUCCUUUUUCACGGGUGAAACAUUACCUUGGGCAGGUAAUGGCAAAGGUCGGGGAAGAGACCUAGCUGCAUCCAUGUUUAUUGGCUGCCAGCAAAUUAUAAAUUAUGCCACCAUAGACCUCAAAAAAAAAAAUACACUGCUCAAAAGAGGAGAGAAGAAAGAGAAGAAAAUGGUUCAAUAUCAAGAAGUUAUAGGAAAAUGUUUUAUGCAUCGUUCAAAAAAGAGGUUUUGCAGAGGAAGUUAAUGGCAUAUUUAAACAUAAUUGACGAUAGCAAACACAUAAAGUAUCCAUUUGAGCUGGAAAAAGAAAAAAAACACACACACACAAUCUUGAAAUUAAGUAUCCUAGGAUUGUCAAAAAACCAAAUGGCAAGUCAUAAACAGGUAUUUGCACAAUCAGUGAUCUGUACACAAGAUACAUUUUUCAGAAGGCUUUUGGCCACAAUAUACAAACCAUCACUUGAGGAUAAUGAAGAAGAAUUGCAAGUUUUUCCAACAAAUUAUCAUCUUUCAUAUAGUUGAGACUACAACUUGCAUUUAAAUAAUUUUUUUCAAAGAAAAGAAAGAUUUUAGAGUCACAUGGUAGGAAAGGAGUUCUACAACUAUUCCACCAAACUAAGGACCUUUUGGGUUAAUGAUUUUGAUCUUAUAAUUAUGCUUAAGCUGAAAGUACAAAUCAUAUAGUAAACAGUUUGAAGAGAACAUUGGUUUAGUUGACUUCUGUUAUAUAUAUUUGAUUAACACCAAAUUGAAAAUUUUAGGGGAAAAAAGAAAGAUAAUCAAAUACACGUCAAAGAUUCAGAGUGUAUAUGUGUGUGUGUUCAUAUUCAUGAGCCUGUGUGUGUAAAAGAAUAAGUAUGGUGGGAGUAGACUAAUGGGAUCAAAUAAAUGUCACAAAUAAGGCAAAUGUUUGAGAUUUCUUAUUUUGGGGUUUGUAUCCUAAACCUUUGGUUUAAAAAUUAAGUUUCUGCUCUUCUUUAUAUAGGACUAAAUUCUUAUCUCAAAUGAAUUAGCUUUGAGAAGUAACUAAGAAAACGGAAAAUGGCCUUUAGUAUUGAUCUCUUCAAAACAGUAAAACAACUCAGAGCUGAAUGGGACCCAACUUUCCUCAAAACAAAUUUUGAAUCCUUAGUUGAAUAAAUGUGAAACAGAAACUGCAAUCCAAUCAAGAAUGAUAAACACUAAACUCACUCCUAAAAAAAGGAUUAGUGUCAGAGCUAAUCAUUUUAGAUCAUUAAAUAUCUUUUAUGAACAUCUAAAUCUAAGUCCUCUGAACACCAGCCACUGAUAUUUAUUAAGUCAAAAAAGUACUGCAACAUAGCAGCGCAUCAAAACAUGUGCUCCAAAUAAUUGCAAACCUGACUUUCUUCAGGAAAACCAUUCCUCAGCCACGAUCGGCAGUGGGCAUAAAGAGAAGCACUCUCAGAUACUCGGACCUAUCAUAGAAUAAAGAGGUAAAAAUCACCAACAAAUACUACAAGUGAUAGUCUGAAUGCAGCAAAAUUGGUCCCAAUACACUCUUAGUUGUGGUAGUAAGUUUUCAAAAAGAGAAAUGUGAUACAUAUUAAUGAGAUCAAGGCAAGUCAUUAGGACAAUCUGCCCUAUAUUGAAACUAUCCUAUGGAUGACUGAUUCUUUGAUGCUUAUGCUACUUCUCUUCCUUCGCCAAAUAAAGACUUUCUUCAUCUAAUAGGAAUAUCCCAUUAAACAAAUGGAGUACCCAGUUAUCUUUCAUUUAAAAAUUGACCAGCAUAAUGAAAACUAUAAUCCAAAAUCCAAGCCAUGAGACUUCAACUAUCAGUGCAGGAAAGAAAGGCAAGAUGUACAACCUUAGACUAGACAGCAAAAUUGUCAAGGCCUUUUCCAUGGAGAGAGAGAUGUACAUCAAAUUUAUCUCUGUGCCUUUUCCAUGGAGAGAGAGAUGUAAAAUUAGGAAGUUCAGCAAUUGUUAAUGUUUUUUUGCCAACUUUUUCAUACAUCACAGGAAGUCGAAAAUGCAAAACAUUGUCUACAGAAUAUAAUCUCUUUAUCACAUUAAAAUCCUUACAAUUUUCUAUUGCAGCCAAAAGAAUGGUUAUAUAAUGCAUACAAACUGCAUCCACUAUCGCGAUUAAGAGCAAUGAAAAGACUCAGAGCUUACUUACCUUCCUGUCUCUAAUAGUUACAAAAGAAUCAUCCCUGCCUCUUUCCCUGCAAAAGCUAAAAAUGCAGAUGUAUGAUUUGUUCUGCAAAGAAACAAGUGCAUAGGAAAUAGAAACCUGGAUACUAAUUCAUAAGCAAAAAUAGUUAAAAGUGCAGCUUUACCUCAUUUCUUUGUGGCCAUUACUAUCAGAAACUGGAGUAGAUGAAAGGGAGACCUAGCACCCAAAAAAAAAAAAAAACCAAAAUUGUUCAGAAGAUAGCACCAAAAUCAAGGAACUACAUCAUAGGAUUCCAUACACUGUUGGUCUAUGCACCAAGCAAUUAAUUCACAAGAUGGAUCCAAUUCCCUAGUCAAAUUGAUAUGGGAAUACUAUAAACAAAAAAAGCUAAGACAAAACAACACAAAAUGAUAGAUUAAUCCUGUCUUUAAGUCAAAAAUAAUGCAUAUAAAUACUCUCUGAGUGAAAUAUUAUCAUCACUGCACAACUAGAAAUCUUUCACUUCACUUAGCAGAAUAAAUGGAUGAGGAAGAAAUAGUUGAAAGACACCGUGAAGCUCAGCAGACAAUCAUAUCACACAAGAAGUUCAAAAAUUGCAAAUUAUCUUACGAAAACAACAAACCUGAUUAUUUAGACAAUUACCAAAUGCAAGUAAUGAGAUCUCCAUGUUUUUCCUAGCAAAAAUUGAGAACCUUUAUGAAAUGUGAAUUUCUAACCAGUAGCAGGCUUUAUAGCAAGCUAUCCCCAGGGAAAUCUAGCAAUUGGAUAUCAUUUUUCCAUUUUCAAGAACUUCAACAAUACUAAAUUGUUCAUUUACUUUCAGAAGAGAUUCAUAAUUGUCCACUGGAAAUUAAAAAACUGGAGGCUACAUUAAAACAGUGUAAUGGGGUCAUGUUGGAAGAUAGCCAACUCCUGUGGUAGGAUGUGGCCAUUUUAGGACAAGCAAGAAAUCAGUGACUGGGUAACAAACAUGUAAACCAGGAAAUAAAGAAGAAACGCCCCAUGUAUAACCUGGUUUGUGCUCAUUUCACCAACUCUCCAGAAAAAUCUCAAGCUUUCCGACGCAGAAGGAUAUUUAGUUUCAGAUUCCAUAUUUCAACAAAUUCAGAAAAUAAUAAAGCAUUCACUUCAAGAACCUCACAAAGCUAAAUGAGUACAGAAACAGAAUAAGGGGAGGAAAGGCAUAGGGUGAUAUUGAAGGAAGGAAAGGAAAAAUAGAAGGGGAAAAGAAAAGAAAAGAUGAUGGAGAAGGACAAGCAGGAGAGGAGGUAGGAAGCGAAUCAGAAGUCAGAACAAAAUGAGAAUUCCAGAAAAUGAGGGCAAAGAGAGUGAGCAAUGAUCUACACAGAACAAAAAGGAAACCCUAAUUUCCACCAAUAAUCUGAUGCUUACUCAACCUAAGCAUUUUCUAUACAACUCAGUAGAAACCAAAGACCCUAAUGCAGAUCCAAUGGAUAUAAAGCAGAUCCAGUGGAUAUAAAAAUGUACAAAAAGGUUGCUUUUCAGCACAUGCACUUAGUGAUAAGUUGCACGUGUUUUUAGCUGCAGCUUGGCUGAAAAAGUAUUGUGAUAAGAAUCAUACUCCAACUACAGAGGGCAUGUAGAGAUGCGAUGGAUAAACUUAAAAGACAAAUUUUUUAACAACUUUGUCUAAGUAACCAAAAACACACCUCAAAGUUUUAAAACACAGACCCUAAAACAUAACACACACCAUCUUCAGGUCUGUAUUAUAAAACUUUGGGGUGUUUUUUGAGGUUGCUUAGACAAAGUUGCUAAAAAACUUGUCUAAUAAAAACCCCUCAAAAAACAGGGCUUCCAAGCAGACCCUAUGUCCUCCAAUAUAUAAAGCAAAUACCAAAAGUGCUUAACUACUUCGAGUAAUGUUUAGUUCAUAUAAGUUCGUAACCCAAAAAAACUCCUCAGCAUGAAACAUUACCCUAUCUUCAGAUACCUGAACAAAAGAUUGACAAUGCUAAUUUUGUGCCUUAAAAAAUGAUUACCACAUUAAAAGAUUUGAUUUCUAAUAGCUCCAAAAUGUGAAUCUUCUCCUAUCCCCCUAAACAACAUCUCACAGUGCUGAGUAGAAAACAGUACCUCAGAAAAUGCUAACCAUUUCCAACGUUCAUAGUGCCUUUUCAUGCUAUAAAAUGCUAUCACUCUCCGUAUCUCCCACAAUUCACAAAAAUAAUUCAAUGAUGAUAGGAUCCAAAAUAAAUAUACACCUUAUACACUAAAACCUAAAGCCGCUUCUCUAAAAAUGUUUAUUGGGACAACCUGUCUAUUUAAUUGCAAGCAAAAAAAAAAGGUACAUGGUCAAGGCCCCAAAAAUCUUAGCCAUUUGGGAAAGGUGUAAAGAACUAUGCAAGGUGCUCUACAUGAGAAUGUCCAAUGUUGCAGGAAACGUUAUAGUGCUUAUAUUUAAACAGCUUGUGCAUUUAUUAACUGGGAUCUUCUAAUGAGAUCACUAACAAGGUUCUCGUUAUUAUCACGGUUGUGAAAGUCAAAGAAACCACAGCUGGUUCACCACAAGUAAUUGAGCUCCAAGGCUUAAGAGGUGUCUCAGAAAAAAACGAUGUCAUUAUCUGAUGACUCGUCUCUGUUCUUCUAAUUACACUUUGUCCCAAGUGUUGAUCAACGUUCAAAUACAAUUCUAUAUUAAAGUUCAGUUUCUCUUUUCUUUUUCUCAUGGAUUAGGGAGGAGCCCCAAAUAUGUGUUUUAAAGUAAACAUAAAAAAUGAUCGAAAUUAAAAGAUUCAGAUAUCAUGCACAAAUGAUAAGUCAAUUUUCACAAGACAGAUCUGCAGCCACUAGGUUAUCAGAAUUGUGAUUUGAACUGGUUGACCACACUCCAUUUUAAACAUGGAAUUAAUAAACAGUAAGUAAUUGAAAAUAGUGAGUAAAUUGGCCAAAAAAGGUUAGAAGAUCCAAAGUUACACCAGUAGAUGCUUUAGUCUAUAUGCGAGGCCAUAAAUAUUUAAAUGCAGCAUUUAACAGAUAUUUGCAGCAUGGAUAACUAUCAUUGUCAAAGGAAAAAAAAUUAUUUUACACUUCUGCUUAUGUGAUGUCUCCCCUAGUUCAAUUCCUGCCCAUCUAAAAUUGGAUGUGGAAAACUGAAAUUGGUAAUACUCAAUACCAUGCUCCUUACACUUGAAUCAAGCAACUUUCAAUUCACCGACUUGUUCACCCAUAAGAGAUAUAAAUGCUCAAAUCUCCAUCCAAGCUCAAAGUUGGUCAGUUACUUUCCAUUCUUAGCAGCUUUACACCCGAAGAUAGAAAUGUUAAAUCUGCCUGAUCUGUUGACUCAAUAAGGUCAGUUCUUCAGACAUUAGGAAACUUUGCAAUUUAGAAGAAGAUUUAGCUGCUGAGAGGUCCAAAAGUAGAGAAAGUAAAGGAUUUCCCAGUAAUAGCUGAUGCAUCAUCAUUUUCUUCCUGAAAAUGUCUAAUGAACAAAUGGAUAAAGAUUAUAUCUCCACUGCAAUUGAGCUUUUAAUAACUCAUAAUCUUCCGAAUCUUGACAAAUGGAAAAAAAGUGUUUGCUCUACUCUAAUUGGCAAGUGAUAAAAUUUCCAUCUCCUAUUAGUAUAACCAUCAGGGAGUACACUGUUUUUGCAUAACUGUAUAUCAUUCUGUUGGGACCUCAAAUGCCUGACAAAAGAAUUCCUUUAGAAAAGUGACAAAGCUGAAUCCUAUUCACAAUAAAAAUAGAUAUACGAAGGUAGACAAGACACGUCAAAUACAAAUACAGGUUUUUCACUAUGACAUUUGCAUGCAAAUGAAUGUUUCAUCUUACUUCAAACCCUUAAAUUGAUUAUGAAUUGAAGCACAGUUAUACCUCCAUAUAUGUCAUGCACAAAACUGCAUGAGCAUUACUGGUCAAUCAGUAACCAAAAAUCAGAAAGGAAUUAGAUAUAAGGAUAAGCAAGAAUGCUUUCAGGACCAAGCUUAGACAAAAAUUUUGGAUCCAAAGAGAAACAAUGCAUAUAUUUGCAAUAAAUGUAGUAAAAUAUGCAUCUUAUAAUCAGCUACUCCAAGAAUGUUCAGUGUUAUAACUCAUGCUUGUACUGUUCUCUUCAAAUCAAGCGCAUAUAAAAACUUAGAUAGCCAAAACAAUGAAGCAUAAAGCACAGAAAGUGAUGCAGGUCAGCUUAAAUUUUGAAACCAAAACCACCUACUCUGGACAGAAUUUCAGCAUUUCAACAGAUUACUAAAAGGUCAGGCUGGAGUUUAAUGUAAUAAAGUCCUACCAGUUUCCAAAAUAACCGUAAUUCUCAUCAACGAAAAAUAUAGAAAACCACACAGUUAUUUAGCUAAAUAAAAACACAGAAAACCACACAGUUAUUUAGCUAAAUGCAAAUCAAGCUCACUGUAAAUGAAAACUUGUAAAAGAAGUUACUCUAAGAGCCUUCCUUCCUUUCUUCUGGUUUUUUUCCCUUUUUGGUUAAAGAAAUUAUAAGAAUCUUCAAGAAGUUUUUUUUUUUUUUUUAAGAUUCCUAUUAAUACUCAUUCUUUAUAACCAACAUUUAUUUACACAUUUGCAAGUAUACAUAGAUACCUAACCCAACUUUAAAAUAUUUCCCAAGUAAUGCAAGUGAAGAAAGAUAAAAAUGGGAAAAAACAUACAAGAGAAAGAGAGAGAAUUCUAAUGCUGAAAAAAUGAAUUUCAACGAAAUUUAAAGAAAUCAGAAAAUAGUUCCUCAAAAAAUUCCAAAAACCUUGUGUUGAGGCUGUGAAGAAGCAGAAGCAGAAAUUGGGACACCUUUAAUCACACCCGGCAUGACAGUUGCCCCACCACCAGCCGGGUGCUGCAAAUGCGGGAUGGACCUACCACUAACAUACCCCAUACCCAUACCCAUUCCCGUGCCCGCAACCAGACCUGGAUCCGGAUGAGAGUACCCAAACAACGGCCUGGGGUACGAAAUCCCAACCCCGGGACGAGCUGCCCCAGCUGCGUACAAAUGAGAAUUAGGGUUAAUAGAAUUAUUAACGGGAACAGAAGAAUGGGGAUGUUUUUGAAGAAACCCUCUGCCGGAGGAAGCUACAGGGUAGAGAGUGGUGGUGGCAUUAGCUGUGGUGGUGACGUCAUGGGAUGGGGGAGGAUAAUUGGAGUUAGGGCUUGCGGGGAGUCUGGAAUUUAUUAGAUGGGGAUGCGGCUGGGGAUAAAAAGGUGCUGGGUAAUGGUGAGGGUGUAGUGGAUGGGGAUGGAAAUGAGGAGGAGGCGGAGGAGGAGGAGGAGGAGUAGGUGGGUUUCGGGGAUUAGGGGGAAAUGGAGGUCUUGUGGUGGUGGAGGUGGUGGCAACGGCGGUGGUAGUGGACGACGACGGAGCAGGAUCAGGUGGUGGUGGUGGAGGAGCGGAGAGGGCCAUUUCCGGAGGGAGGAGUUUGGUGGCGCGGAAUUUUGAUUUUUCAGGUUCUCGGGUUUUGGGAGAGAGAAAAUUUUAAAUUUUUGUAGUUUAUAAAUCUUGGCGUGGACAAAGUGUCGGGUUUUGGGUGAAGAAACGACAUCGUCUUUCCAAUGAGCAGCGCAAACGACAGUAUGUUGUGGGUCCGUUUGGAUUUCGAAAAAAAAAAGACACAGCAACUGGAAUCUGAACAAGACUCCGUCUCAAUAAUUUGUUUCACAAAUUUCAAUCACCUUCUUAUCUUUUCAAUCAUCUUUUUAUUUCACAUACAUCACGUUACAAAAAAAUCCUACAGUAAUUAUCUCAAAUAUCAUUCAAAUAAACUCCUAUCCAAACAGACCCAAUAACUCUUGGAUUAAUUGUUUUUGAAAAAUUUUAUCGUAGCAGUAUAUUUGAAAAUUUUUUAAUAUAAAAUUUUUUAAUAUAUUUAAUAUAUUAUAUAAAUAAAUUAUUUUUUAAAUUAUUAUAUAUUAUUAUAACAUUAUUUUUAAAAAAAUAGUCAAUCCAACGGAGAGGAACACAAAAAUGGGUGAGCGGGGGCUAGGGAUUUUUGGUGGCCCCGGGGGGGAAGGGGGUGCUGUGUAUUGGAGAAUUUGGGAUGAAGGUCAGUUUGUAGGGUUCCUUCUGUCUGGUUGGUGUUCUAUCUUUUUGUCCACAUUGCUCUUCAUUUUGUUGGGCUUUUGACUAUCUUAUCCUUCUUUGUCUUUAAUGUCUCGUAUUUGCAUUAGAAAUUGGAUAUGACUUCUGCUAAGAGUUUUAACAAAACCACAAGAUACAAUAAUGGCCCCCUUUGAAAGGUGGGUGUUUUGGAUGUUUGUCUAAAAUUUUACUGUAAAUCACUGUAGAAGUUGUAAGAAAAAUUUUUAGGACAGAUUACUGUAGAUUUCUUUUUCUUUCUUUUUCUUUUUCUUUCUUUCUUCUCUUUUUCUUCUCCCUUCCCCCUCCCCCGGCACCUCUGCCUCUGAUGUAGAAGAACUAGCAACCAUGGGAAAUUUUUGUUUUUAGCUUUUUCUCUCCCCCUCUUCUCUCUCUCCCUCUCCCUCUCCCUCUCUCCCUAUCCUCCCCUUCCCUGUCGCCCUCUUACGCCGGAAUAGGUGAAGCCAUGGAUUUUUUUUUUUUUUGCUUUUUCUCUCCCCACUCUCCACCCCCUUUCCCGCCACCCUCCCCCUCCCCCUAAUUGCAAUCUAGUCGCCUAGUAGCCUGCAAUUUUUUUUUCCCUUUAUCUUCCCCUCUUAUCCCUCUCCCUCUCUCCCUCUCCUCUCCCCUCCCCCUCGCACUUCGACUUGUAUUAGAACUUGCAGCCACGAAAUAUUUUUUUUUUUUUUGCUUUUUCUCUCCCUUUCUCCUCCCCUCCCCCGCCACCCUCCCCCUCCCCUAGAUGUGCGACCAAAUCGCAGCUAGUAGGAGGGGGAGGGUGGCGGGGGAGGGAGAGGGGAAGAGGGGAGGGGAGAAGAGGAGGAUAGGGGUGAGGGAGAAAGAGAGAAAAAAAAAAAGAGGAAGGCUAGCACUAAUUCCAGUGCCACAAUAGGUGUUGGCGCUGGGAGCGGUGGUGGAGGUGGUGGCUGGUGGGUUGGAUGAGGGAGGAAAAAGAAAAAAAGUUGAAGGGAAAUUUUUUGUGUAUUAGAUUUGAAAUGUGUAGGUUAAAAACUUUGAUAAGUUUUUUGAGGUUCCUGUAACAGAAGUUGUUAAAAAAUAGUAUCAUAAAAACUUGCAAAAAACUUGAGGUUCCAAACAGGGCAAAUAUAAUAAGAUGCUUUCCAAGCUCUGAUUCACUACUUGAAAUGCCAUCUUCAGCUUAGUGAAGUAUCGUCAUCAUCAUAAAAAGCACCAAACAUUAAGAGCCCACAGCCUUGGCUGGGUGGUGAUUGAUUUGCUGGAUUCCUCUUCUUGACCUCUUUAACUCUCCUUCCUCCUAGUGCAGAGUAGGAGUAAUUGUAAUAUAAAAUCUAUUAUGUCGACAAAAAAAAAAAAAGAACCAAUUACUCCUAGAGUAGUUCGCCAGUAAGAGAGUUUUAAAACUUUAUUUGGGUAUAGAUCCCAUUUGAAUAUCCAGACUUUUCUGAAAAUGUUUUGCCAACUAUGCAUUCGUCUGAACCGGUGGUAAUUCAUUGGAUUUUCCUUAACCUCUACCAGACACAUUAACUGAAAUCUGAACAGGACUCCACCUCAAUUACCAUCAAUCUUCCUCUUGAAAAAUAUAGUAUAGCAGAAACAGCCAAUUUGCACUCCAAAAAAUGAGUAGCUGAAGAUCAUUCAGAAUGCCAAGGUCCAAAAACAAAGUAGAAUAGAAGAAGUAACCAACAAUUCUCAAAAUGACGGUAAAUAUUAGUAUUUUUUGUAAAACUAACUCCAGCAGCAUAGACUGCAAAAAUGUAUUGUUUCAGGUUGUAAGCCUUUUUAUGCUAAAUAAUUCAUCAAUCUUGCCAGCAAUAAACCCUGAACAACAAUGUAAAAAUAAGUAGGUUCUAUGUAAAUAUAAUCAAUUUAACAUGACGUAAAUAUAAGAAGAUUCUGUACAAAUAUAAAUAGGGAUAAUUUUAGAAAUCUUUCCAGUAAUUGCACUUAAAUACCCUCUAAUGCUGAAAAUUACACUAUCCUCUUUUUUCAGAUAGAUGUGACCAAAUGUUGUGCAUUUUCUGCUAUUGAGAAAAUGAAAUUGAGUCAAAUAUAAUUUUUUUUCUACUUCUUGGUGCCCUUUUGCUGGCAUUGUAACAAUUUGAGGAGUUAAGAUGUUAUACAGUGCCAUUAUUGUGAAAAAAAAAAAAAAAACCAAACUAGCUUUGAUGAGAGAGAACUCAAUAAACCAAUCCAUUCUCAAAAUUGGCGAUCCUUCAUCUAAUAUGAAAAAUCAAACUAACUGUCGUUUUCAUCUGCUCACUUUUGCUUCUUAGUUACCAUUAUACCACUUGAAAUAGUCACAUUUUGGCACAAUAGAACUAUAAUCUAUCCGUAUUUCUUUCACAUUCUAAAAUUCUAACUGUUGCAUUGCAUCUGCAGUAACAAUUUCUAUUUUUGAUCCUCAAUAAUGUUUCUACAUGAAUUGAGUUCCCGUGAUAACUUGAUGAAGACAUACUUGUUCUUCAAUUGUUGUACUAGUCAAUGUGUACUUCUAAUACUUGAUGAGGUCAUAACUCAUUUCACGCAAAAAUGCCUUCUUUGAAAAAUGGAAUGCAUGUUUUUUCACACAUUCUCUAGUUUAUAUGUUGCCAGGAUAGGAUAGAGCCGUUGUAGUUGAUAAUGCAGCGGCUCUUCUUGACUUGAACAAUCAAAAGUUGACUUUUUUUUUUAUAUGUAUUUUUUGCUAUCCUGAGAGGAUCAUUGGACCAUCCUACAUCGAAAGAUUGUGGGGUAGUUAUUCUGGGUGUAAGGUCCCCAGCCGCACCUCCUGUCACCAAUUGAUUGGAUGUUGUUAGUUUGUGGGUCCCCCUUAGAUUGACUUUAGGGUCCAAUUUGACUCUGACUUUAGGGUCCAAUUUGGCGAUGACUCCUGAGUGUUUCUAACAUAAUUGUGUGUGUUACUUAUUCUGUCUAUGGAAAAAAGAGAGGAUCAUUGGAGGGACAAUAUUUUUCCUUUUUUUUUGUUUUAUUAAUUUCAUUAAAAAGUGAUACGUGUGCUCUCUUACGUACAAUGAGGGCAAAUUUGGUAGAAAAUUACGUGUCAAUACUUUUGUCUCAAACUUUAAGGAAGCUUUUCUUGACAAGGGCUAAAAUAAUUAUAAAUAUAUCAUUCAGGAGGAGGGCAGCAUAAUUUCCAAUAUUAGAGGACAUUUAAGCAUAAUUUUUAGAAACCUCAAGGGACGUUUAUGAAAUUAUCCCAUAUAGAUAGUUUAAUAAUAUUUGUAUCAUAAAUUACAUCCAAGUCAUUAGCUAACAACACAUACGUAGUUAACACCAACAAUUUUAGCAAUAAUAUACUUGGCAAUUUUUUAAUCACAUUCGAUAAUUAACUUUGCGUGCUUCUUCAUUUUGACAAUUAAGAGACCGACUCUUAUGGCCUAGGGUAAUAAACUUGUGUUUGGUCAAACUUCCCAUAAAAUACACCUUUUUAUUGGACCUUGGUUGAGAUUAUUCUCCACGCUUUGUAACAGAGUCCUGAAUCCUGAGAUGUUGGUGUCGGUGUCAGGACUCUGGUCAGAGAGGAAACUGCUGGUACGAAGACUCCUGAUUAUAUCAGUUUAAGGAUUAGAAUUGAGAUUCUAUCGCCCAAGUUCUGUAAUUUUCGCGUUAUUGGGGCAGACAUACCUAAGAAAUUGAUAUCUGGAGCUCAAUCAACAAUUUAAUUGCAUCCCUUUUGACUCUCCCCUCAGAGAUUGCAGGCGCAAGUCACAAGGUCUUCAUUUCAUUCUACCCUUCUCUUCAUUACCAGAUGAUAUAUGUUGGUGGAGUUCCCUUUCAGAGUGAUGGGCCAUCUUCCUCCGAGGUAACCUCAAAUUCCACUUCCACAGUCUUCAAACCAAGAAGUAUGAAAGCAACAUAAUGAAAUCUUGCAUGAGUGUUUGUGAUCAUGUAGUUGGGAUACAACGACAAGUUCAUAACUUUAUCUGAAAGUAGCCGAUUUCUCAGAACCCAGUUGGAUUAUAUCCUAUCUGGCCCCAAGGACUGCAUGAUUGUCUUACCUAAACCCUGUGCUGGAGACCCUUUUGAUUGAUUCAUUUUUAUCAUAUUCAAGAAGCAACUGUUAUUAGAAUACUUUAUCUGUUAGUGUUUUGACGAACUCGAUUAAGGAUUUCUGUGGCUUAUUGAAGAUGGGGUGUAUUCGAAACAUUAGGCCCUGCUUUUUUCCUUAGGUUUUAGUAUCUUUUAUAAACCUGGAUAUAAGUGAGGAAAGAACCUUUCUGACGUGAGCUGUAAAAAUUCAGGAAUUUCUCGUUUUAUGUACAUUUUUAGUUUUCAUGCAGGAUAUUAAGUGCAGUGUUUAUUUACACUCUGAUGAUGCAGAAACUAGUUUCUUGAAUGAAACAAGGUGGUAGGAAUCCCAAAUAGCUGAAUCUGAUGAGCUAAUGAGUUUGAGUGAAUAAAAUAAAAUAUGUAACACAAACGCACAGAGUAUAAGGUUGAUAACUGUGAGAGAACUUAUAGAGAGGAUCAGGGUAUCUUGAGGUAAUAUAUGUCAGAAGGACUCUAUCUGCAAUGGAGUUUGAAUUUCUCCAAGUUAAAAAAUUUGGACUAAAUUAAUAUGUUCGUACUCUCACAUACAAUCGUUCAACUGUUGCCUAAGGGCCAAAAGAUUAUGUAACACAUUUGCAUCAGUCUUCUGAAUGGAACAGUUUGUUGACAUAAGUAUGACAUCUCACUUUCUUUUGAUUAUUAAUCAAUGACUUCAUUGCUCUUCAUAUUCAAUUUCUUCUAGGUUGUUGAAUGGGUACAGAUUGGGCUGGCAAUGGCUGUUGUAGCUUAUGUAGAACAAGUGCACUAGUCGCUUUCUAGUUGGUGGGUGGGCUUGAUUACAGUUUCCUAUCUUAGAAGAACAGGCAUUGUCAUGUCAAGUUAAUUUAUUCCCCGUAUUGCAACACAAAAAUCCUGUAAUUAAGUUGUAUAUAUGGUGGAAGUGACAGCAUGUUCAUUCUGGUCCUGUAUUCGUAUCCUCGAGUUGGUUAUUAUUUGGUUGCUUCAUGUAUAUAAAAUAUUUCCUACCAAUAAAGUUGUCUUAGACAUUUGUCUGACAUAAUGUUCUGGAAGCAACUAUGAGCAUCGACAAAUCUUGCUGAUAGCGCUGUUGUUUGUUAACUUCAUGAACACGUCAUGGGAUAUACUUCAGGGGAAAAAAUUCUAGUUGUGGUGUUUGGUUACUCUUUCUAUGUGCAUUUUGAGCAACUAAAUAGACAGAUUUCUUCAAAAGUAUUGCAGUUCACACUUGCUGAUUGCCAACCUGUUACAGAUCAUACAUGCAUUUAUGUAGCUAAAACUUGUUUUUUCUUUGAGAACAUAAGAUUACUAUCAUACCGGUAAAGUAUUAAAAAGAUACUAUUAACUAUAGAGCUUAUCUUUAAGAGUUAAAUCCAAAUUGCAGCUUUGGCUCUAAGAAUUGAGCUACUGCUGGUACCAGAUUUUGGCUUCAAGAUUACUAUCAUACCGGUGAAGUAUUAAAAAGAUACUAUUAAGUAUAAAGCUUAUCUCAAGAGUUAAGUCCACGUUGCAGCUUUGGGUUUAAGAAUUGAGCUUCUGCUGGUACCUGAUUUUGUGUGCUUCAGCAAUUGUUUUGUUUGAACCAUCCAUCAUUUCCCUCCCCAAUUUAGACAUUCGUUGUAGGGUGUUAAUAAUGUUAGUGAAAAGCUAUAUCCAUUUAUAGCCUGCUGGGUUAAGUAAUCCUGUUUCAAUGCAUCUAUUCUUCUGGAAAACUAAUUCUCUGGCUAGAAAAGUUAAUAUUUCUCUAUCUUCCAAGCCACAACUUGCAACUUAAUCGUCUUCUUCUGUUCAUCUCAUUAUGUGGCCAAAAUGCUUUCUCAGUGGAAGUUGAAUAAGUAGAAAUUUGUGCUCUUCUUCAUUAUUAAUGAAAGGCCCUUCUUCUUGCUUUCUGUGGAGAUUAGCUAUCUUAAUUUGAUUCCAAUUGUUAUCAGCAGGGAAGCAAAAUCCUACUUGCUUUGAUGGAGCAUCCUACUUUGGUAUCUGCCUCGUGUUCAUUUAAGUCUACGCCUGAGAGAAAAUUUUCAGCCUCUGAAGACUCUGGUUUGGAGAGAGGGACAGGAUGUAAAUGGGUCUAUGUUUUCCAAAGAGAGUAUGCAACAGUUGAUCCUGCUCUUGUGGAUGUAUGUUCAUAUCAUGUUUGUGCAGUAAGCUGAAAUUUAUCUGGAAUAAACCUUAAUUCCUAAACAUAAAAAUGAAAACAACAGGAAGAUUUGAGAAACCUAGUUGUCUAGAAUAUGUUUUUAAUAUUUUUCUGAGCAAUGCAGCGUAUUGUGGGUCUCACAUUUAAAACUAUGAUAGCCUCUAGCUUUGAAUGCAAUUUUUGACGUAUGCAAGAAGGUAAGUUAUGCCACAACAAUUUUAGAGGAGGAAAAGACAAAAUGUUGGAGUAGCCUCCAAAGAGGAAUAAACCGUGAUGUCAUACUGUUCAUACAUUAUGUAUGUAUUAUACUUCUCUGUAAGUCCAGAGAUUUCAGAUUUAUUUCUUCUUGAUAAUUUCCUAUAACUAUUGAAUCUAAUUUUAAGUAUCUCAAAAAAAAAAAGCCAUGUAAUUUCUCUGCUUUAUCUGGAUGCUAAUAUACUUGUCUAAUUAGGCUGCAGCUUCAGCUUACUCCUUUCUUGGGCAUGUAUACCUAAAGACAUUAGACUUGAGUUGUUCUUCUUCUAUUAGAAACAGUUUGCUUUUCAGGCUCAAGUAGUAUUCUGGCAUUUUGUUUUAAAAGUUUAGUUUCUGUACUCAGGAAGGCACUACAUGUUCCUUGUUAGCCCAAUUGUCUUUCUUGCUAUCUGCUUUCACUAUAUCAUUCCUGUCAUUGAUUUUAAAAACAAAAUGAAGGAAUCCAGUUAUGAACCCAUUUUCUCCUUGACAGCAAAAUUUUUGCAUUAAAAAAAAAUUGUGUUUGUUGUGAUGUGCUUCCAAUAGUUAAUUUGGUUGCCUCUUGACUUUUAAUUGAGAUCCCAGGGUGGUGAUGAUAUUGAGUUCCAGAUCCCAUUUUUUGUUUUUUUGACUAUUUUUUCCUCUCUCUCAUUUAAACUGAACGGGGAAUUCCAUAGGUAUGAAUUAGAGCUUUUCAUGCUAAAACUUCACAGUUUACAUGCUAAAAGAAUUUACCAUUACUUAUGAUUAGUAUACCAUAUACAACGGCCAUGAAAUGCUAGCCGUAUAAAUUUGAUAAGUUGUUUUACAAACAAUUAAUCAACAAAGUACAAAAUGAUAUACAAUUAAUGUGAAACACCGCCAAAUUUCCUUGCAUCAAGAAGACCAAACCUGUCAAAAUCCUACAUAAUUCUAGGGUCUAAUUUCCUUUUGCAUAUUAUUCUAAACUAACAAAAGUCUACUUGUUGAACAACAGUUGUGUAUACAUAUAUGUCAUGUUUGAAUGAGCUUCGACAAAAAAAAAAAAAAAAAAAAGGUAUUCAACAGCAGAUGCAAGCUGACUUUAGUAAAAGUUCUAGAAAACUUAUUCAAAGUUUUAGCAAAUAUAUCUCAUUAAAUGACUUUGAGGGGUGGCAACACAGUGAGAUUUACAAAUAUUAUUAUAAUGCAUGGCUGAAAAGUAAUCAUUUGGUUUUGAUCAUAAUGGGGGGCUCUUCUUGACCAUUAUUUGCCACCCUUUUUCAAGAAAAUUUUUUGGACUUUCAGCUCAGGACGUGAAGAUUUGAUUUGAAUCCUCUCAUAUUUCUCCAUCUCAUCCUUGAUUGAUGGACGGAAGAAAAGAGUUACAGUAGGGUUUUAGGAUUCACAAAUUAAGUUGAAUAAUAUCAGAUUCUUGCUUCGGAAAUAUGCUCGGAAUUCAAAUGCUUUUCGAUAUGAUAUUUAUUAGUACCUUCAAUCAUUGACCAUUACUACAUUUACCAUGUCAUCAUCAUCAUCAUCAUUAUUUUCAUUUUAGUAUUUCUGUAAUCUCUCUAAUUACAUGAGAAGCACGUAAUUGAAUUCCUGGUCCUAUUUUUCUAUAUUCAUUAUAGUUUUUUCUUUUCUCUUGUGGGGUUUCAUAAUUGGGAUCGUACGUUGUUUGGAUAGAAUAUUAUUUGAAAUAUUAUUUGGAAUAAUUACUGUAGCACUUUUUGUGAUAUGAUGUAUGUGAGAUAAAAAUGUGAUUGGAAAUAUAAAAAGGUGGGUUGGAAAAUGUGUUUAUGAUACAAGCGAAAUAUUAUUUGGGAUAAUAACACUAUCCAAACAAACAGUAUCCCUAGCUAGUUCAUGUCUAUACUGGAGCUUAUUGCAUGCAAAUUAACUAACCAAAAUAUAUAAGGAAAGAAAUGGGAACAAGAUAUGAUAUUUUAGCUUCAAGUAUCCUUCAGAUUUCUUUAUAUAACUGAUGACAUCUGGAAAAAGGAUAUGCCCAAAUUUGUUUUUGGGUUUAACAUCAAUUUUGUACUGAUAUCCAAAUUACAUAUAUUAUUAUUGUUUCCUCUCACCAUUAUGCAUGGUCAACGUCAUAAGGCAACAAAAUGAUCGCUUUCUAUUUCUCUUAAUCAUCAACCUUCAUCAUCCUUAAGUGUCAUUCAUAAUAUUAUCUUUUUUAUGAGAUUGGCCGCUUCAAUCAUGAACUCAUUUGCAGACAUGUAAUCAAAACCCUACGUAGGAAUGUUACAAACAAAUAUGCAAGAGGUAGGUGCAUGAUUUGCUCGGUGGUUGGUUGAGGCAAUGCUCCAAAUUGCAACAUGUCUAUCUCUUUGACAUCAUCAUUAAUUCCUCAAUAAAGCACAUCCUUUAUAUAUAUAUAUAUACCCAUGGAAAUGAAUGAAUGGCUUUGUUCCAAAAGAAAAAAAAAAUAAAGCAAUUAAUUUUAAUAUUUUUUACAUUUGAUAAAUUUUUUUUGGGGACAUACUCGUUACAUAAUACUAAUCUUCUAGUAGUACAAUUAAAAGAAUAUUUUUUGGGACAUACUUUUUAUUGGGGCAAUUCCAAUUUCCAAUGCACAUUUUCUUUUCCAAGAAAUAUAAAUUUAUUGAUUGGACCUUCGAAAUAUAUGAAAAGAAAAUUAAGGAAAAUAGAAAACAAGAAAUGCAUGUCAUGUAGAUGUAGUAAAGUGUCUUCCUUCCAUCAUCAUGUGUUGCCUUGCCUACCAUGAAUUACACUCAAAUACAAACAGUUAUAAUUUGUAUGAUUAAACUCCAGAAACUGCAUGAUUUCAUGUACCACAUGCAUUGGCUGUGUGGGUGUGGGAAGUCAUCAAGAAAAACCGAAACUCAUGGGAAGAAAAACCGAAACUCAUGGGAAGAGGGUCAUGAUUAUUUUUUAUUAGUGCUAGUUAUGGAGAACCGACCUUGGACCCCAUCUCAUAAUCUGGAAUUAGUAGUUAAAAGGGACUUAACCUAGUCAUCCAAAUUGCAAAGUUCAACUGCCAUUAUUACAUGUCAUCCAAUCAUUUGUGCUUCGUUGGUUUGUCUAUCUCACUGAUUGCAAAGGCAUCAUCAAUUUGAAGAGAAAGGCAGUAGAUACAAAUAUAGCUUUUUUAUUAUUAUGGAAUAUUAUACAUUUUCUUUGGGGUUAUAUAUAUAUGUAUACACACACACAACUAGUCCUUUUCUUCCCUAAGGGGGCGUCCAUAAUAAUAACAAUGAUUUUUAAUCAUAUCAAUCAAUUAGUGUGAUACAUCUCCUUUUUCUGCAUGACUAGCCAUAGUUACGUUUUGCCUUCUGCUCUUUUACAAAGGUGACAACCAUAUAUAAAAUUUGUAUGCCACAAAGUUUUUUUUUUUUUUUUAUAUAUAUAAUCUAAUCAUGAAUUCACUAGCAGAUCGACAUGAGAACAAUAUAAUUAGUUAAAUCAUUAUUCAAAUAACCCAAUUAGGAAAUCAUGCUUCUCGUUCAAUUUAAUUUACCUUUCUACUCAUUGCGUUGUGACCUCGAAUUAGGUCACUAAAUUUGUUUAAUAUUUGAGUUUGUCACUAUAUACACGGCCUUGUAAACAAUAAAAGAAUUUGUCACCGAUAAAAUGAUAAAAAAUAAAAGUUAAAAAUUGUGUCAAUAAGCUAGAUGGUAGACAUGUCUUAGCUUCUAGUUAUUUAUGUAAUUAUGUCACCCCAAAAACAAAACCAAACAAAAAACAAAAAAAAUCAAAGAAAAAGGAGCUCUUUUACCCUUUGCUAAUUGUUGACAAACUUUUCAUGCCACCAUCUACCCAUUACUUUAACGCUAUGACAGCCCCGACUGUUUUGAUUUGGAUAAGAUAACAGGUUGAACAUCAAGAUUGCCGCCCUGAAAAGUUGUGAAAGGAAAAUGCCUACCAGAAUUGAAAAUCAGCCAUAAAGAAACCAUGUUGAUGUUGAUCACAUACAGCAGAUUAUCUAUUAAUAAAGUUUAAUAUUGAAUGUGGUAAUAUUUUUUUAAAACGUCGUUCAAUCACUUGGAUGAUGAAACCUUAAAGCAAUGCGCGAUAUUUCAAAAAUGUUUAUGUUCUUGACACUCGACAUUCGUUAAGAUGACUUUGAGGUGUUAAUUUUUCAAAAAUACUAUAAGAUCACAUCGAAUGAGUAUCUAAUUAAAUACAAGAGAGACAAUAAAUGUGAAUUUGUGCAUUCAAAUGAUAAUUUUGACAAGGCGUUAUUUUUUUUUUAAACACAGGGAGAAUCCCAGUUUUGCCAGACUAAUCUCCCUACGUCUGUGCAUCCCGCCUCCCAAGGAUACACAAGUGGUAGAGAGGUGAUUCAAACACACGAUCUCGGGACCUAACUAGACUACUUCGAAACCAUCCGAGCCAACUCCAAGAGGUACAAGACGGUAUUUAAACAGCACUUCUUUUGUAUAUCGAACCACCACGAUUUGAGUAUAUAUAUUCCAGGUAGGUACUGUGUGAAAUGAAUCAAUGAACAAGAGAUAUUUUGCAAAUCAAUAAUCUUAUUUUGUAAAAAAAUAAUAAUAAUAAUAAUUAGCAAGGGAAAGAGAAUUUAAACCUAUCUUUUCAAGAUUGAAUAAUCCAUGUAAUGACGAAACAAGACAGGAAUGUGAAUAUCCUCGAAAGUUCAAGGAAACUUUCAUGCAGCCUCCCUUAAUGGGGCCUGACAAAAGGUGGCACUUUCUAUACGCAAUGUAUAAUGAUCUGGACUCCCAGUGGAGACGUUGAAGAGUAGAAAAUUGGAGGAGAAUACACAAUCUGGACUCCCAAUAGAAAUAGUGAAGAGUUGAAAUUUGCAGGAGAAAAAAGCCAUCUUACAACUGGUUUGACUACGAGACUUCAACCCAUUUUUAUCCGUUGAAUUUCAUGUAUAAACAAAUGAUUCGAGGAAAGAAAAUUUGAGUUCGGAUAGAACAAGCACCAAACUUUGUUAGUAUAUUUGAAGAUUUGAGGCGGCAGCAUAAUUAGUUGGUGGACUCGUUAGAAGAAUGUUAUAUAAUGUGGCCAUCAUUAUUCUUGAAAAAUUUGCAAGCGCACUAAUUACACACUUAUUCCCAUGUAACAAGAAUCAUUAGAAAGCAAGCUUAAUGCAGUCACAGUACCAUUUCUUCAUAUAUGUCAUGUGCAAAUUUAGAAAUAUCAACUCGCAAACAAAGUUUUAGUUAUACUUUAGUUUUUAUACUUUAGAAAUGUCAUGUAUUGCAGUUGAAGUCCAAAAUAUCAAAAUCAAAAUAAAAUAACUCAAGAGUGGAAAAAAGGUACGUCUUCCGAUGUGCCAUUUACGCCAUAAUUAUCAUACGUAUGCACAUACUCAUUUUCCUUUUCUACUUUCUUCGCAUUUAAACACUUUAUGUGCUUAGUUUUAUUUUUUUCAGAAAAAAAAAAACUAAUAGUUAAGACUCCUCUUAAUAAGUUUUCAUUAAGCACCGGUUAGUAAGAACGUAAACGAUUCUAAUCAAGCCGAACGUUCUAGUGUUCAAACUUAUUUGAUUAUUUUAACGAAUUUAAAGUUUUGUUUAAAUAUGACUUAAUUAUUUGACGAACCGAAUUUGAACAAGAGUUUUAUCGAAAUUGAAAGCUGUCGAACAUAAUAUGCCGUUCAAGUCUGUCGUGACUAAUUGGCAAACCAACUUCUAAUGAUCUCUUACCAACUCAAUACUCGAUUCGCAUAUUGAGUAGUUUGAUUCGUCUUUUAAUCCUAUCGAUUUCGGUGUAUAGAAUAUAUUUCAUGACAUAAUUAUUGUAAUUAUUAAAUAUAUAUAUAACAAGACUAAAAGAUCUCAACUUCCUUUCUUAUCAGCCAAGUGCAUUCCACACAAUUCGCAUGUAGUGGAGGCAGAUGAUCGCCAAAUGUGCAAAUAAACCGAAAGGUCAAAAAACUUAAUGACCACGAAAUGUGAAGGGCUAAAUUGGAUUUGGUCCACCGUGUUCGCAAUCUAUGAUGGAUUUUUAGGUUGACAAAGCAAUUUUCAAUAAUACCGUUUACGCGUGUUUGUGAUCUUCUAAUAUAUUUUUCUGGGAGAAAAUUUUCCUUGUUUGACGACUGAUGAUUACUUUGUCAUUAUUGCAUGUUUGAAAAAGUAAAUCCUUUGCUCACCACCACUAAUCCUUGUAUUCUUGACUUAUCACCAUAAUGCCACAAUUAUGUAUUUUUCUAGCCCAAAGAAGACAAGUAUAAAAGAGGACUUGAAGGAACAAUCAUCAAAUCAGAAACAUGCCUUGAGGAGGAAGUAAUUCUUGAAGUAUGCAUUUUCUCCGGUGCUAUCAUCAACAAUGUGGUGGGCACUGGGAAGAAGAAGAGGUGUUGCCCAAGUGGUUGAGAAGUAUACAGUUGACUUUCUUAUUAAUUCUUUUAUGGUUGACUGGAGGAGAAUCAACAUAAUCUAAUGGUCAACUUUUACUAAUUCCUAUAUUAAGUACCACAAAUGACCAUUCUCCUGGCGAUCAAAGGUUUUGUUUACAUAUCACAACCACCCCGAAGUGAGACUGCGGGUCCAGUCUGGAGUUCUUUCGGUUGAUUUCCAUGGAAUAAAUACUGCCGCCAGUAUAGACUGCAAACAUGCAUCUUUGAGGAAAAAAAAAAAGGGGAAAGUUCAGUUUUAGGCCUGCUUGAUUGAUGAUUCAAUUCGACACUUUCAGAUCUUAACAUAUUCAGAUACGUUUGAUAAUUAAAAAUUGAACAUUUGAAUUAAUUAAGUGAUAUUGAAUUUUCUAGAUAAAACUUACUCCCAAAAUUAAAUGAUAAUCUAUUCACGUAUCACUCAAUGUGAUAUGCACUCGAAUGUAUCAAAUUUAGUUGUGGCAAAAGUUAGUUCUCAAUGUUCAGCACAUAUGCAAUUUUAGUUCCCAAAGUUUUGACAAGAAUAAAUAUGGGUCUCCCGCUACCAAUUUGAAGCAGAUUAAGGAGAAUUGACGGAUUUCCCAAAUAUCAAUAUGAAAUCCGUCACGGGUCUUUAACAAGUCAAAAACUUCUUAAAAAGGAAGCAAAAUAUUUUUGAAUCUUUUGCGGCUUUAAAUUUUUAAAAUUUCAACUUUUAGAGGAGAAAUACCCGAAUUGUCAACUGCACCAAUCAGUAUUAAGUUUAGUACCUGAAACUGAUCCUUCUCCAAGUGGUCAAAGGUUUUGGUUUACAGUAACCCCGGAGGGAGACUGCAGUGGAGUCUUUUGGGUAUAUUUCCCUGCAAUAAUUGCCGCCAAGUAUAGAAUCCAAAUAUAAAAUACAUACCCGUAUCACCGGAAUCAAGUAAGAACCAAAUCUGCCAAGAAUAGCCCACUUUCAACUCAAUUUUGAUGUAUUGACAGGUAGCUGGAGCUCCAGGUCAACUCUAGCUCUGAUUUUUUGGAGCUUGAGCCACUAGGACAAUGGCCAUGAGCUUUAAGUCUUUAACUUUGGGGUCCAUAUUCUACACAUAUUCCUUACAGCUUCAUGUAGCUUCAUCAUCUACAAAUUACAUAGGUUUCAAAAUUUGUAUUAAGUUCAACUAAUGCUGGAAUUUUCUCAGUUUUCUCACUGCUACCCGGUUAACAAAUUUCUUCAAGCCCAUAACUUCUUCACGCCUGUUACAAUUUCAACCCACAACCCAACAGGAUUCAGGUAAUAUACAAGAAUCAUAUUGUAACAACGUAUUCAUCAGUACAAUAAUACGUUGUAACAAAACCCUCCCCCAAAACACCCACACACACACACACACACAUACCGAGAGACACCAUACCACAUUUGACUAUUUGAGGAGAAAAAGAAUGUAAAUGUUACAAUGUUACAUCACCAAUUAGCUGAUAUUUUAGCGAAAAACCCUCAAUUUUACAACAGCAGAGAAGUAACUCAUCAGCUGUCCAUCCUUUACCGCCUAUGUUCUAGUAAAGCACUCAGUUUCAUGGCCAAGGCUGUAGAAAGUCUAGUAUAUCAUCUCUGCAAAGCAAUAUGAAAAUUAUCAAGAAGCAUAUUGACGUUCUAAUGCUUCAACAAACCUCCAUAUCAAAAUUCCCUUUUAAUGUUUAGUAAUGGCCUAAACCUCAACUCUGAUUAGGAGGAUGUCAGACCAAAUAGCUCACUUCAGUUCCCAGAGGCUGAAUCAUUUCUCAUUUGUUGCUCUACCAUCAGAGGCAAGAGAAGUGCCAAUCUGGUUUUGUAUCUCGCAAUUCGUUGCAGUCUUUCUUCUCUUAAUCUGCAACAUCCAGUAAAGAGCCGAACAGAUUUUAGUGUUCUCCAAUUAAAAGGUGAACUGAAUUAGGUAUUCACGGAGAGUGGUCAAACUAUGCAGCAGGUUGAGAGUAGAUAGUUGUAAAAUUGUUAAUAACAAAAUGUGAAGCGAAACAGUACCCACUCCAAUUUGAACCUUACACAUGCCGAAUUUUUCUUUGAAAGUAAUCUCAUUUCCAAUUUAUUUGCUUUCAGAUUCUGUUGAAAGAUUUAAAAUGUAGUAAUUCAUGCUUUAGUUUUGACUACCAUCAUCUAUAAAUGUUCAACACAUAAGUAACGAUCCUCUUUCCAUCACCUAGGAAAAUAAUCACACUAGGCCAAAGAAAGUCGAGCCCAAAUUUUUAUAUAUAAAAGCUGAAGAGAUUUACCAAUAGUUUCCUCUUGAAGACAAACUAGGGAAAGCUUAGCAGUAAUACAUGGAGAUGUCAAGCCAUAAAAAUUAAAGGUGCUUGGAAGCUAAAAUGUAGAAAGAAAAAAGCAGACUCAGACUGUCUACAGAUAGGUGCAUACAGAGAGCACAUGCUGAGAAAACACUGUGAGAACAAGGCUAGAGUACAAUCAACUUGCUCAUCAUUUAAACGUUAUCAGCUCUAAUGAAAUAUGUAGCACGAGAGUUUUUGGUUUUUAGGGCACUAUAGCAACCUAUCUUAUCCACAAGAAUAAUGCACAAGAAAUUGUAUCUUGCUGGAGUCAAAUUCUCAAAAUCACAAAUUGGAAACCACCAGGAUUCAAAUUGAGGCCCUAUUUGACAACCCAAUUUAGCACUUAAACUUAAUAGAAUCAGAUCUUAACAUAUUCAGGCCGUUUGAUAACCAAAAAUUGAACAUCUGAAUUAAUUAAGUAGCAUUGAAUUUUCUAAGCAAAACUUGCUCCCAAAAUUAAGUGAUAAGCUAUUCACUUAUUACUGAAUGUGAUAUGCACUCUAAUAUAUUAGAUUUAAUAUUUAACAAUUCAAUAACUUAAUGGAUUCAUACUUCAAAUUUCAGUUUUAUCAAACGCACCCUUUAGCACCAUAAAAUUGCAAAAGCAUAUUCCUAUCACGUCAAUAUAUAGUCAGCCAGUAGUAAACAAAGAUUUUUCAUAAGGUGACUUCCAGAUUGUCAAUAACCCAAAUGAACAAAAUUAACAAUGCAUAUAUCAUUGAGGCAUUUGGGAAGAAUAAUUAUCAUAUAGUGACAGAUUUGAUCAUAAGAAAUCAAGGGGGAAAGGACACUUACCGUGAUCGCACCCUCUUAGCACGCUUGAUAUGUGUUUGUAACAGCUCCUCAGAAGUUAAAUUGUCCACAGAUCCUUCUACCUGAAACUUGGAGCAAAUCCGUUCAGAUUGUUAAUAGACAGAAAAAUGUACCGGGGGUUGAAACGGAUGUGUGCAUACACUGAACAAAAUUUCCAUAAAUCAGCAAUUAUUAAAGUGCAACACUCAAAAAUACACAAAGUUAAAGAUGACACAUAUUUCUGCAAUUGACAGAGAAAGAAAAAUGUUGGUUAGAUGUUGCAAUAAAAAUAUAUCACAAUUCAUUAUGAUUUGCUAUGACACUAGCAGAUAUGGAUACGCACUUCACAUUGUUGCAGACAUAAAAAGAUCUUUUAGAGGUUUAACAAUCAUUUAAGCUGCGAUAAACUUCUGAGCUUCUGAGCUCUAACAAAACUGCUACGAAUCUGCUCCAAAGGAGCUAUUCCCUUUUACUUACCCAACCAUCAAUGCAUAGAAGACCUCAAAUGUCACUAACCUAUUAGUACUACCCACCAGUGUCAUUAGAGCCGACACAAACAAAUUCCUACAGUACCUGUACAAUGUGAAUAUUAGCAAAAGAUAUGAGCUACAUCAUUCGUAAGGUAGCAGCAGACAUGAUCCAAGUCCACCUGGUACUUGAAGUGAUUAAUCUUUCUGGCAAAAAAUCCGAACUUGUAUCUCCGCCACCCCCACCCCCAGCCCAAAACCGAAAAAUAAAAAGGGCAUUCAAGCUCUACCCCCUUAACAAAGAAAGAAAAAAAUUCUUGAACAGCAAUUCUAAACUUUUCAUUCCUUCAAAUAUAUUCCUUGACAACAAGGGAAAGAAAAGGCUUUUUUUUUUUUUUGGGGAGGAGGUGGGGUGGGGUGGGGGGAAAUCCAAUGGAUGGAUAGCAAAGAAGAUAUUCUUAUUCCUUCAAAAUAUCUUCUUGUAAUAGCAAAGAAGAUCCAAAGGUUAUUAUAUGGAUUCCUUUGAAUAGCUACAAAUAAUGUUCCCUAAACAUUGGUUCUUCUUCAUAACCAAAAAGGCAACAAUUAAGCUCCUCUAUGCCACCAUGAAAGAAACUUAUCAGCUGAAAACAUCAAUCCUUGUCAAUUAGAUGAUAUGUUCAACCAAAUUUGAGCAAUAAUGACAACAAAAGGAAACACUUGAAAUGUCAUAUAUAAAGGUCAUGUUUCAUAGAAAGGUAAACUUGUGCUACAUUUGCAGUGCAUGAUUAAACUAACCUCCUCUUCUUCCUUAGGAUCGUCCUUUUUCACGGGUGAAACAUUACCUUGGACAGGUAAUGGCAAAGGUCGGGGAAGAGACCUAGCUGCAUCCAUGUUUAUUGGCUGCCAGCAAAUUAUAAAUUAUGCCACCAUAGACCUCAAAAAAAAAAUACACUGCUAAAAAGAGGAGAGAAGAAAGAGAAGAAAAUGGUUCACUAUCAACAAGUUAUAGGAAAAUGUUUUAUGCAUUGUUCAAAAAAGAGGUUUUGCAGAGGAAGUUAAUGGCAUAUUUAAACAUAAUUGACGAUAGUAAACACAUAAAGUAUCCAUUUGAGCUGGAAAAAGGAAAAAAAAAACACACACACACACACACUCUUGAAAUUAAGUAUCCUAGGAUUGUCAAAAAACCAAAUGGCAAGUCAUAAACAGGUAUUUGCACAAUCAGUGAUCUGUACACAAGAUACAUUUUUCAGACGGCUUUUGGCCACAAUAUACAAACCAUCACUUGAGGAUAAUGAAGAACAAUUGCAAGUUUUUCCAACAAAUUAUUAUCUUUCAUAUAGUUGAGACUACAACUUGCAUUUAAAUAAUUUUUUUUAAAGAAAAGAAAGAUUUUAGAGUCACAUAGUAGGAAAGGAGUUUUACAACUAUUCCACCAAACUAAGGACCUUUUGGGUUAAUGAUUUUGAUCUUAUAAUUAUGCUUAUGCUGAAAGUACAAAUCAUAUAGUAAACAGUUUGAAGAGAACAUUGGUUUAGUUGACUUCUGUUAUAUAUAUUUGAUUAACACCAAAUUGAAAAUUUCAGGGGAAAAAAGAAAGAUAAUCAAAUACACGUCAAAGAUUCAGAGUGUAUAUGUGUGUGUGUUCAUAUUCAUGAGCCUGUGUGUGUAAAAGAAUAAGUAAGGUGGGAGUAGACUAAUGGGAUCAAAUAAAUGUCACAAAUAAGGCAAAUGUUUGAGAUUUCUUAUUUUGGGGUUUGUAUCCUAAACCUUUGGUUUAAAAAUUAAGUUUCAGCUCUUCUUUAUAUAGGACUAAAUUCUUAUGUCAAAUGAAUUAGCUUUUGAGAAGUAACUAAGAAAAUGGAAAAUGGCCUUUAGUAUUGAUCUCUUCAAAACAGUAAAACAACUCAGAGCUGAAAGGGACCCAACUUUCCUCAAAACAAAAUUUGAAUCCUUAGUUGAAUAAAUGUGAAACAGAAACUGCAAUCCAAUCAAGAAUGAUAAACACUAAACUCACUCCUAAAAAAGGGAUUAGUCUCAGAGCUAAUCAUUUUAGAUCCUUAAAUAUCUUUUAUGAACAUCUAAAUCUAAGUCCUCUGAACACCAGCCACUGAUAUUUAUUAAGUCAAAAAAGUACUGCAACAUAGCAGCACAUCAAAACAUGUGCUCCAAAUAAUUGCAAACCUGACUUUCUUCAGGAAAACCAUUCCUCAGCCACGAUCGGCAGUGGGCAUAAAGAGAAGCACUCUGAGAUACUCGGACCUAUCAUAGAAUAAAGAGGUAAAAAUCACCAACAAAUACUACAAGUGAUAGUCUGAAUGCAGCAAAAUUGGUCCCAAUACACACUUAGUUAGUUGUGCUAGUAAGUUUUCAAAAAGAGAAAUGUGAUACAUAUUAAUGAGAUCAAGGCAAGUCAUUAGGACAAUCUACCCUAUAUUGAAACUAUCCUAUGGGUGACUGAUUCUUUGAUGCUUAUCCUACUUCUCUUCCUUCGCCAAAUAAAGACUUUCUUCAUCUAAUAGGCAUAUCCCAUUAAACAAAUGGAGUACCCAGUUAUCUUUCAUUUAAAAAUUGACCAGCAUAAUGAAAACUAUAAUCCAAAAUCCAAGCCAUGAGACUUCAACUAUCAGUGCAGGAAAGAAAGGCAAGAUGUACAACCUUAGACUAGACAGCAAAAUUGUCAAGGUAUAUCAAAUUUAUCUCUGUGCCUUUUCCAUGGAGAGAGAGAUGUAAAAUUAGGAAGUUCAGCAAUUGUUAAUGUUUUUUUGCCAACUUUGUCAUACAUCACUGGAAGUCGAAAAUGCAAAACAUUGUCUACAGAAUAUAAUCUCUUUAUCACAUUAAAAUCCUUACAAUUUUCUAUUGCAGCCAAAAGAAUGGUUAUAAAAUGCAUACGAACUGCAUCCACUAUCGCGAUUAAGAGCAAUGAAAAGACUCAGAGCUUACUUACCUUCCUAUCUCUAAUAGUUACCAAAGAAUCAUCCCUGCCUCUUUCCCUGCAAAAGCUAAAAAUGCAGAUGUAUGAUUUGUUCUGCAAAGAAACAAGUGCAUAGCAAAGAGAAACCUGGAUACUAAUUCAUAAGCAAAAAUAGUUCAAAGUGCAGCUUUACCUCAUUUCUUUGUGGCCAUUACUAUCAGAAACUGGAGUAGAUGAAAGGGAGACCUAGCACCCAAAAAAAAGAAAAAACCAAAAUUGUUCAGAAGAUAGCACCAAAAUCAAGGAGCUACAUCAUAGGAUUCCGUACACUGUCGGUCUAUGCACCAAGCAAUUAAUUCACAAGAUGGAUCCAAUUCCCUAGUCAAAUUGAUAUGGGAAUACUAUAAACAAAAAAAGCUAAGACAAAACAACACAAAAUGAUAGAUUAAUCCUGUCUUUAAGUAAAAAGUAAUGCAUAUAAAUGCUCUCUGAGUGAAAUAUUAUCAUCACUGCACAACUAGAAAUCUUUCACUUCACUUAGCAGAAUAAAUGGAUGAGGAAGAAAUAGUUGAAAGACACUGUGAAGCUCAGCAGACAAUCAUAUCACACAACAAGUUCAAAAAUUGCAAAUUAUCUUACGAAAUCAACAAACCUGAUUAUUUAGACAAUUACCAAAUGCAAGUAAUGAGAUCUCCAUGUUUUUCCUAGCAAAUAUUGAGAACCUUAUGAAAUGUAAAUUUCUAACCAGUAGUAGGCUUUAUAGCAAGCUAUCCCCAGGGAAAUCUAGCAAUUGGAUAUCAUUUUUCCAUUUUCAAGAACUUAAACAAUACUAAAUUGUUCAUUCACUUUCAGAAGAGAUUCUUAAUUGUCCACUGGAAAUUCAAAACUGGAGGCUACAUUAAAACAGUGUAAUGGGGUCAUGUUGGAAGAUAGCCAACUCCUGUGGUAGGAUGUGGCCUUUUUAGGACAAGCAAGAAAUCAGUGACUGGGUAACAAACAUGUAAACCAGGAAAUAAAGAAGAAACGCUGGUUUGUGCUCAUUUCACCAACUCUCCAGAAAAAUCUCAAGCUUUCAGACGCAGAAGGAUAUUUAGUUUCAGAUUCCAAAUUUCAACAAAUUCAGAAAAUAAUAAAGCAUUCACUUCAAGAACCUCACAAAGCUAAAUGAGUACAGAAACAGAAUAAGGGGAGGAAAGGCAUAAGGUGAUAUUGAAGGAAGGAAAGGAAAAAUAGAAGGGGAAAAGAAAAGAAAAGAUGAUGGAGAAGGAAAAGCAGGAGAGGAGGUAGGAAGCGAAUCAGAAGUCAGAACAAAAUGAAAAUUACAGAGAAUGAGCGGAAAGAGAGUGAGCAAUGAUCUACACAGAACAACAUGGAAACCCUAAUUUCCACGAACGAUCUGAUGCUUACUCAACCUAAGCAUUUUCUAUACAACUCAGUAGAAACCAAAGACCCUAAUGCAGAUCCAACGGAUAUAAAGCAGAUCCAGUGGAUAUAAAAUGUACAAAAAAGGUUGUUUUUCAGCACAUGCACUUAGUGAUAAAUUGCACGUGUUUUUAUCCGCUGCAGCUUGGUACUGAAAAAGUAUUGUGAUAAGAAUCAUCCUCCAACUACAGAGGGCAUGUAGAGAUGCGAUGGAUAAACUUAAAAGACAAAUUUUUUAACAACUUUGUCUAAGUAACCAAAAGCACACCCCAAAGUUUUAAAAUACAGACCCUAAAACAUAACACACACCAUCUUCAGGUCUGUAUUUUAAAACUUUGGGGUGUUUUUUGAGGUUGCUUAGACAAAGUUGCUAAAAAACUUGUCUAAUAAAAACCCGUCAAGAAACAGGGGUUCCAAGCAGACCCUAUGUCCUCCAAUAUAUAAAGCAAAUAUCAAAAGUGCUUAACUACUUCGAGUAAUGAUUAGUUCAUAUAAGUUCGUAACCCAAAAAAACUCCUCAGCAUGAAACAUUGCCCUAUCUUCAGAUACCUGAACAAAAGAUUGACAAUGCUAAUUUUGUGCCUUAAAAAAUGAUUACCACAUUAAAAGAUUUGAUUUCUAAUAGCUCCAAAAUGUGAAUCUUCUCCUAUCCCCCUAAACAACAUCUCACAGUGCUGAGUAGAAAACAGUACCUCAGAAAAUGCUAACCAUUUCCAACGUUCAUAGUGCCUUUUCAUGCUAUAAAAUGCUAUCACUCUCCGUAUCUCCCACAAUUCACAAAAAUAAUUCAAUGAUGAUAAGGAUCCAGCAUAAAUAUACACCUUAUACACUAAAACCUAAAGCCACAUCUCUAAAAAUGUUUAUUGGGACAACCUGUCUAUUUAAUUGCAAGCUAAAAAAAGGUACAGGGUCAAGGUCCUCAAGAAUCUUAGCCAUUUGGGAAAGGUGUAAAGAACUAUGCAAGGUGCUCUACAUGAGAAUGUCCAAUGUUGCAGGAAACGUUAUAUUGCUUGUAUUUAAACAGCUUGUGCAUUUAUUAACUGGGAUCUUCUAAUGAGAUCACAAACAAGGUUCUUGUUAUUAUCACGGUUGUGAAAGUCAAAGAAACCACGGCUGGUUCACCACAAGUAAUCGAGCUCCGAGGCUUAAGAGGUGUCUCAGAAAAAAACGAUGUCAUUAUCUGAUGACUCGUCUCUGUUCUUCUAAUUACACUUUGUCCCAAGUGUUGAUCAAAGUUCAAAUACAAUUCUAUAUUAAAGUUCAGUUUCUCUUUUCUUUUUCUCAUGGGUUAGGGAGAAGCCCCAAAUAUGUGUUUUAAAGUAAACAUAAAAAAUGAUCGAAAUUAAAAGAUUCAGAUGUCAUGCACAAAUGAUAAGUCAAUUUUCACAAGACAGAUCUGCAGCCACUAGGUUAUCAGAAUUGUGAUUUGAACUGGUUGACCACUCUCCAUUUUAAACAUGGAAUUAAUAAACAGUAAGUAAUUGAAAAUAGUGAGUAAAUUGGCCAAAAAUGGUUAGAAGAUCCAAAGUUACACCAGUAGAUGCUAUAGUCUAUAUGUGAGGCCAUAAAUAUUUAAAUGCAGCAUUUAACAGAUAUUUGCAGCAUGGAUAACUAUCAUUGUCAAAGGAAAAAAAAAUUAUUUUACACUUGAUGUCUCCCCUUGUUCAAUUCCUGCCCAUCUAAAAUUGGAUGUGGAAACUGAAAUUGGUAAUACUCAAUACCAUGCUCCUUACACUUGAAUCAAGCAACUUUCAAUUCACCGAUUUGUUCACCCAUAAGAGAUAUAAAUGCUCAAAUCUCCAUCCAAGCUCAAAGUUGGUCAGUUACUUUCAAUUCUUAGCAGCUUUACACCCGAUGAUAGAAAUGUUAUAUGCGCCUGGUCUGUUGACUCAAUAAUGUCACUUCUUCAGACAUUAGGAAACUUUGUAAUUUAGAAGAAGAUUUAGCUGCUGAGAGGUCCAAAAGUAGAGAAAGUAAAGGAUUUCCCAGUAAUAGCUGAUGCAUCAUCAUUUUCUUCCUGAAAAUGUCUAAUGAAAAAAUGGAUAAAGAUUAUAUCUCCACUGCAAUUGAGCUUUUAAUAACUCAUAAUCUUCCGAAUCUUGACAAAUGGAAAAAAAGUGUUUGCUCUACUCUAAUUGGCAAGUGAUAAAAUUUCCAUCUCCUAUUAGUAUAACCAUCAGGGAGUAAACUGUAUUUGCAUAAUUGGAUAUCAUUCUGUUGGGACCUCAAAUGCCUGACAAAAGAAUUCCUUUAGAAAAGUGACAAAGCUGAAUCCUAUUCGCAAUAAAAAUAGAUAUACGAAGGUAGACAAGACACGUCAAAUACAAAUACAGGUUUUUCACUAUGACAUUUGCAUGCAAAUGAAUGUUUCAUCUUACUUCAAACCCUUAAAUCGAUUAUGAAUUGAAGCACAGUUAUACCUCCAUAUAUGUCAUGCACAAAACUGCAUGAGCAUUACUGGUCAAUCAGUAACCAAAAAUCAGAAAGGAAUUAGAUAUAAGGAUAAGCAAGAACGCUUUCAGGACCAAGAAAGCUUAGACAAAAAUUUUGGAUCCAAAGAGAAACAAUGCAUAUAUUUGCAAUGAAUGUAGUAAAAUAUGCAUCUUAUAAUCAGCUACUCCAAGAAUGUUCAAUGUUACAACUCACGCUUGUACUGGUCUCUUCAAAUCAAGCGCAUAUAAAAACUUAGAUAGCCAAAACAAUGAAGCAUAAAGCACAGAAAGUGAUGCAGGACAGCUUAAAUUUUGAAACCAAAACCACCUACUCUGGACAGAAUUUAGCAUUUUAACAGAUCACUAAAAGGUCAGGCUGGAGUUUAAUAUAAUAAAGUCCUACCAGUUUCCAAAAUAACCGUAAUUCUCAUCAACGAAAAAUAUAGAAAACCACACAGUUAUUUAGCUAAAUAAAAACACAGAAAAGCACACAGUUAUUUAGCUAAAUGCAAAUCAAGCUCAAUUAGAUUGGAUCAUAUUUGACGGAUUUUUGGAUUAGCGGAUUUAUCUACUCCUAAUUCAAACUAGUGGUGUAAUUGAGUGCUCAAAUUCGAUUUGAAUUAAAAAAUUUGGUCAAGAGUUCAAACUCUUGAAAUUUGAGCUCGAAUUCAAAUUCAAUUAUAAAUUGCAUUGCUCGAAUUCGAGCUCAUGCUCAUCAAGCCAAAUCAAACUUGUUUCGAGCUCAAUUGAGUUUAGUUUAACCUAAUCGAGUUUAAGAAAUAUUAAUUUAUAUUUUAUAUAAUUUCAAAAAGAGACAAAAUAUAAAUUUCAUACUAAUAAAUGAAUAAAAUUAAGAAAAACAGAUAUAUGUAACGCUCGAUUGAACUCGAUGGCCUUUCAAGUUUCACAUAUUAAAUUUGAACUAAACUUGUCAAGUAGUUUGAAUUACUUGAAUUCAAGUUUGAACUUGGUCAAUGCGAGUUCGAGUUUGAAUUUGGAUUAAGCGAGCUUGCCAACUACUAGAUUAAACUCGACUCAUUUGCACCCCAAGUUCAUACCCUCACUUUCUUAGAAGAGAUUUGGAUUAGGUGGUAAGAUGAAUAGAAUUGUAAAUAAGAAUUUUUGAAUUUAAGACAUCUCACAUAUUUUUUUUAAAAAAAAAAUACUCGGUUUCUCCUCCUUAGCCAAUAGGAACCCAAAAGAAGGGGCCAUUUCUCUUGAACACGGCCCAAAAUUUUCUCCAUCCUCGUGGGUCUAGGUUAGGGCCGAAAAGAUUUGGUUGUAAUUGAAGGAGCGAGUCACUAAUACCAUUAACAAGGCCUUUUAUACUCCCAACAGAAAUCAGCUAAACAUUACCAUGUGCUCCAUGCUCAAAUCCUGAGGAUUUUCCUUUUUUUUUUUUUUUUUUUUUAACAAACAGACCAUACGAUUUAUCUCAAGUUUACGUAAAAGAUAGUUCUACAUGGGCAGCACUUUUUUUUUUUUGGUUGAAAGUAACUUACCUUCCGAAAUUGUAUCAAAAUUCUUAUUCUAAAGUUGGCUGUCCAAAAAAAAUAUAAAAGAGUAACUUUUUUUAGAAAUGCACUCAUUAAUAUCCCCAUGAUAGUCCAUUAUUUUUGUAAACUUUUUUUCCACCCAUCUCAUAUACAACAUGCAUUGACUUUUCUCCUGUUGAAGGGGUACUAAGAUUGAAAUAUAUUUUUCAAAAUAUUCUACUUACAUGUCCAUUUUAUAUACUCAAAGCUCUAAUGUCAAUUUACAAUUUUUCACUCCGCUAUUAUAGACAGUUUCAUCCAUGAAAUUUUUUAAUCAGCCCGUUAUAUUAAAGAGUUUUUUUUUUUUACUUUUCCCCGAAUCAAAUUUGUGAAAAUGAACUUGACGGUAAUAUAUUAUACAUUAUACACCAUCUUAUUACCAAAGAUAUGUUUGUAUUCCUUUUGAAUAAUAAACUUAAGUAAAAAGAAGUUUAUCCAAAUUUAGCUCUUACCUAUAAUCAUUGCCAAAAGCAUUAUUUAGAAAAUUAUUAUGUUUGGAUAGUAGAUUAUUUAGGAUACUUUUGUGAAAUAAAAUACUGUAACACUUUAUUAAUAUAAUGUAUGUAAGAAAAAAAGACGGUUCAAAAAUGCGUUUAUGAUGCAAGUAAAUAAAAUUUGGCAAAUAAAACACUAUCCAAAGAAAGUUUCCUUGUAUUCCUGCUGUUUUUGCUAUUCCAACAAAUUAGGUAUAUAUUUUGAAGAACUUAAUUGAAUUAACCAAAAACUUACUAAUCCACUUGGUCUUUUUUUUUUUUUUUGAUGGAAAAGCCUCUCCUAUUUCCACAUCCAAUUGCAAGACUUUACCUAACGAACCCGGCGACAAAACAACUAUAGCAAUCAAACCCAUUUUAGUCAAUUCACACCACCAACCAUAUCAAUCCAGGCGCUUUACGAACAAUUUGAAGAAUGGACAAAGCAGUGAAUUCUUCAAAUCUCCAAGGCCAAAACCGUCCUUUAAAAUCACCAACACACGGUAGAAAAAUAUAAUAGUACUUUAAAAAAAAAAGAAAAAGGAAAAAAGAAAAACUUGCGUGCCCCCAAAUUAGGCCCGCUCUCCGCUCGUAUAUAAACACGCACUCACACACUGCGAGGCCGAGACGUAACUCCCAUUCUUAAAACUCCCUCUGUUCUUCGGUUUUUUCUCCUCUUUUAUUUCGAAAACAUUUAAAUUAAAACCCAAAAAAGAAAUAAAAAUAAAAAAGACGACCAAAAUUAACAAAAUUUAAAAGGUAAAGAGAGCUAAAGAUUCUUUCUAAAUCUAAAGAAAACGAAGAACAUCAACAACUCGAACCAAACCAAAACCCUAACUUUCAGAAAAACAAAUGGAGACUCAGACUCCACUUUUCUUCCUUCAUAUCCUCCUCUAGACAAGGACUUGUUUGUUUGCGUCUUUUGAAUCCAUAUAAAUACAGAUAUAAAUAUAUGUGUAUAUAUGUAUUAUGCGUAUGCUAUCUGGGUGAAGGAAAAUAUUAUGUCAAACGCGGCCGAUGUGGAUACGAAGGAGUUAAUAUGGAGUACAUGGGAAGAACUAUUACUAGCGUCCGCGGUGAAGCGGCAUGGCUUGAAGGACUGGGAUACGGUGGCGAGGGAGCUCCAGAACCGCCAUCGCCACCGUAGCAGCAGCUCUUUGCCGCCAACCUUGUUCACCGCCCAAAUUUGUAAAAACAAAUUCAAACACCUUAGACGUCGCUUCACCAACAACCACCGUAGUGCUAGUAAUAAUACUGCCGUAACAGCCGGAGCUGGUGGUGUCGGCGGCGGCGGAGGAGAAAGUGAGAAUAAUGAGCUGCCUCGUGAGGCUCAAUCUGAUGAUGAUGAUGAAAACGACGGUCUUGGUGGUGGUGGCGGCGGCGGAGGUGGUGGUGAGGGUGAUUGUUUUCCUUGGCUCGAGGAGUUAAGAAAACUCCGCGUAGCUGAACUUAAACAAGAGGUUCAUCGAUACGAUCUUUCGAUCCGGUAAAUCUCGAGGAUAUGAUAUCAUUUAUACGUUAAUCUGCUUUUACUUAAAUUUUUAAGAAAUUUUGAAUAUUUUUGUUUUCAAAAAUAUUUUACGUGAAAAAUUGAGCUUGUGGAUCGGAUCUGUGAAUUGAACAGGUCGUUGCAGAUGAAAGUGAAGACGAUGGAGGAGGAGAGGGAGAAGAGUCUGAGGGAGGACGACGACCAACACGACGACGUGAAGAAACCAGAUCUGGACGAGGAAGUAAAGCAGGAGAGAUCAGAAAACGACAAAAACGAUGGUAAAGACCCGCCGGAGAUGGUCGCCGGAAAGUUUCUAUCCGGCGACAACGACGAAAACAUGUCGUACAACGAGUCUAAUUCGACGGAGAGCAAGCGAGCCGGAUUGAAAGUCGAACCGAAGAACGAACCGGCCGAGGCGGAACCGGAAUCCGAGUCGAAACCGGUCGGGGAAGAGGUCUCGUGCAAUGACAGUUCAGCGAGCCAGGAGAGGGGGAAGGGUGGGGGAGACUCGCGCGAGUUGCGUGACUCGGUGGGAGAAGACGAGUCGAAGGAAGGGACGAAGGAGAGCAGCGACGUGCAGAGUUCAGCGAGUUUGUUGACAAGGAAGAGGAGAAGACGAGGAGUUGACGGUGGCGGAGGCGGCGGUGGAGAUGGGGUGGCGGUUUUGUCGCCCGCUACCGCCCCAAUAAAACGGGAGGGUGGCGUGGGGGGAGCGGUGAAAUCAGAGCCGUCAGCGUUUGGGUUUUUAGAUAAAAUUCGGUCGCAUAAACAUGGCUCGGUGUUCGAGCGCCGGCUCGAAAGUCAGGUAAUGAUCCAGUACUUUUCGGUUCAAUUUUGCCAAUUUGGUAAUGCCUAAUCAUCGUCCAAUGUGUGGCAUAGAAUUGAUUUAUUUUUUAUUUGAUCGGUCCCACUUAGGAAUUAGGAUUAUCUUUGCUACUUUUGUGCGCUUUUAUGAAAGAAAAAGAGGAAGGAAACGCGCCACAUAAAUUUACCAAUUCAUUGAUCCACAAAAGGGGCAACUAUAAAAAUCUUCGUGAAAAAAAUGCCUAAGUUAGAAAACAAGGAGUGAAAAUAUUUAAAAAGUUUGAUAGGUUUUCAGGGAAGAAAAAGAAAAAGAAAAAAGACAAGGUUGAUUUGACGGGUCCAUCCAUAUUAAAAUAAGUUAGCCCUAUUUUGGAAAAUUCUUUUAGAUUUAAAAGAAAGAAAUUAAAAAUUUCAGUCCAAGGAGUUUAUUGAAAAAAAGGAAAAUAUUAUUGGUGCAGGCUAUGUCAAUCAAUUAUGAGCCAGCGCGAAGUUUAAAUUUAAACUGGUGAAGUUAGGUCGAGGUCCUAAACCUCACUCACGGGAAUGAGAAGAAUUGUAAGAGACGAGAAGAAUUGUUUUUUUUUUUUUUUUUUUUUUUUUCAUAGACAGAAGAAGUAACACACAUAAUUAGGUUAGAAACACUCAGGAGUCAUCGUCAAAUCGGAUUCUAAAGUCAGUCUUUAAAAUCAGUCUAAGGAGACGAGAAGAAUUGUAAGAGACGAAAAUAUGGUAAAUAAUAUAUAUAUAUAUAUAUUUUUUAAAUUUAAGAAAGAAGAAUGAAUGGUGAAUAAAAGUUACCAAACUAAAGACAAAGGAUAGAAGGGAUUUGCGUGUGAACUUUAAAGGCCAAAUGGGGUAUGUGGAAGGGGAUGGACGAAUCAAAGCCCAAAGGGUCUAGAUCCGUACGUGAUGGCACGUACAGAUGAAGUACCUGGCAUGGACUAUGGAAUCUGGACUUACUAAGUAUCAACAUAUUUGUGUUUUAGACUAUGGGAUGGGUAAGCUUUUGUAAUAUGUUAUCUUUAGGAUUUGUUUCCAAGGGAUAUUUCGGGGUAGAUAUCCAUAGGAGGGUGUUUGAGACUUUGAGUUGAAAUUUGUGAAAAUCAUAAAUACUACCUCACAUUUAGUUCCAUUAAAAAGCCAAAACAGUUAGUUAUUUUCACCGUUGUUAGCCUAAACUCGAUGGUUUUAUUUUUUGGGAUCUUUUAUACUUGGGGGCCACCGUAUUUUUGUGUUUUUGCUUGUUGGCUCAAAUCUCGAGGAGAGAUAACGGUGACAAGUGGAGGACGCUUAUUAGUCUAGUCUGGUGUAGAUAUGAAGUGGCAUUGAGCAGCAUGGUAGUUUAGGUUAGAUAGCUUCCUAGAAACACACGUGUUUCCAUUGUAUUGCAAAUACGUUUUUUUUAAUAUAUAUAUAUUUUAAUUUUUCAACUAUCCUUUUAUUUUAAAUAUAAUAUAUUAUAUUAUAAAAGUGUUAUGGUAUUUUUUUUAAAAAUAUUAUUAUAAACAGUCUCCUCCUGCGUGCCUGGGUUCAUGAAAAUUAAUACUUGCAUUAGGAAACUAUACACAGGUCGUAUCGUGUAGCCUCGCGCGGAAGAAGCAUGAAACGUUAGUGACUAGAACGAAGCAAGUGAAAAGUUAGCCCCCACUAGGCGUUGGAUGGUGACUUCUUUUAAUUGGUUCAAGGGUUUAAACUGCUAAGCAUAUUCCACGGGCAUUGGUUAACUUUGUGGGCUGGUAACGGUUGCACGUGUAAUCGUUUUUAAACAUUUAAAAUUUGUAGUAUGAUUUUAGAACAAGGAUGUAAAAGCCUGCGACUUUUUCAUAGCCUAGCGAAAAAUACACUAAAAGCCUAGGCUGUAGAUCGUGGACUUUGAAUUUUGCAUUUUGUUACCUAAUCUUGGCUGUUAAUACCUCCGGCUCCGGUUGUGUGUGAUAACAAUAUGAGCCCCUUAUCAAGUUAGAAUUCAUAUUUUCGAAAAUGUAAAAUUAGAAAAAAGAUUUAAUUUCGAGAAGUAUAUUAAAUAUGGUAUGCAUGUUUAUUUUUGGGCAAAUUAGCAUACUGAAUUAGUACCCCUUUGACACCCGUUAAAGAGCUUUCUCGAUUUAAUUUAUUUGUUAUUCCACUGAUAUGAGUGAUAGUUGCAUGAAAUAUGCAGUUCGUGACUUUUCAGUACGGUUCAAUCUUUGUGUGGAAAAUUUGUAGCGGUAGAUUAUAGGCUCAGGUACCCCAACCCCAACAACAGGAUAGAAGAAGAAGAAAAUAUCUAAAUAGUUGGAAAGAAUUUUGGUGAGAGUUAGUUAAAGACUGGGGAAAUUAGGAGCGACCCCGUAGAGUACGUCGAAAUGCUGCUAACCAGUGGAUGUUGGAUCAGAGUUGGACCGUUCGCUACGUAAUCUUAAACACGUGGCGGAGGGCGUAGAUCGAUUUUGGGUUGAGGGCCCCAUCGAAAAUGUCUUUUAAGGUGUUCUGGACUUUGUGUCCAUGGAUAUCCAAUGGUUUUUGCUGGAUAUUGGAGCCAAUAGAAUGCCUACCCAAAAGUCCGUGUGGAUACCAUUCAAUUCAUACUGGGCUUGGCCUAGCUUCUUUAGUCUCCGACGAAAGCAACCCAAGUUUAGCGGGUUUGAUGGUUUUUUAACCCGUCGCUGUCGGCUGGAAUUUAGUGUACGUCACCACUCACCAGUCCGUCCAGGUGGUGAGGAGUCAACGGGGUACACGAUUUUUAAGUCUCGAGCUCUUUUAUUAUUGUUUACGAAACACUAAAUACUUUACUCGAAUUUCUAGGUUCCAACAUAAUUUCCAUUUUGGUUGAUCGGAAAUUUAUUUUCUAUCCUUUCAAAACUCUUAUACUAAAAACAUCAUCGUUUAGGUCCACGUGUUUUAUUUUAUGUUUGUUUUGAGUUUCAGUUAACUGAUAGAGUGGACAUAAUAUCUGGUCUUGUUUUAAGUGUAUGUAUGGAGUGGAAUUGGAUAUUGAUAAUUUGAUAUGAUUAAUAUAAAUACAUAUAGUUACUCUUUUGUUUCCACAUACUACUCUUUCGUCUUAAGAACUAUAUAUAUAUAUAUAUAUAUUUUAUGUCAAACAAUAUAUUAAAUUAAGGUAUUAGCAAGACGUAAAGGCAUUCCAUUCUCAACACGCAUCCUAUGGUAUGUCAUGUGAUGUGAUUUACUGGUAUUAAUUAUUAUUAUUCUCUAAUAGAGGUGGAUAAUAUAUUAUUUACUAUCUACCAAACAAGGUAUGAGCUAUCUCUAUUAUUUGCUGAUCAAUAAUUACUACUAAUAUGCCACAUAAUAUUGCCAGCCAAAUGGUAUACAUGGAGUCAUUAAUCACUUAGAUGCUUCAGUCUUUAGAUAAUAUAUAUGGAUUAAGAGAAAUUUUAUUUCGGUCCAACCUAGUAGUAUGGCACUCUUUAAGGUCAAAAGCGAAACCUUACCUUAAAAUCAGUUACUAGUACCAUCAAUUGGACGAACAAGGGCUCCAUAAUUUCGUUUAUAGAAGAUUAUAGUAGUAGUUGAGGUGGAAGUAGUGAAUGUCGGACUGAGGGAAAAAAAAAAAAAAACUUCUCAUUAUUGUUUAAGAUACGUAGGUAUAUAAUAUAUAACCACCAAUAUUUGUCUCGCAUGCCUUGUCACCACCAACAUCGAAAAUCUUCAUUAGAUUUGUGUUAUAGCUUAUUUAUUCACAUCCAACAUGUACUAGUGCGUACUUUGUGUACAAAAAAAAAGGUGGAAUAAUGCGCUGAUAAACCUUUUGACUUUAAAUGCAGAAAACGGAAAAGUACAAGAGCACUAUCCGACGUCACGUAGAUCUUGAAAUCGUUCAAGCCCGGAUUGAUGAUGGAUCCUAUACAUCAUGCUUUUUGAAAUUUUACAAAGACCUUUUUCUUCUCUUCACCAAUGCCAUUGUCUUCUUCCCCAAAUCAUCUCCCGAGGCAUUGGCCGCUCAAGAGCUUCGUCAACUUGUGCUGAAAGAGCUCAAGAACGCCUCAUCUGGUCCUUCACCUCAACCCUCCUUGCCUGCAAAACCAAAACCCAAACCUGAAGUCGAAAGAUCCGACUCGCUGCUCGCGAAGCAUAAAUCCACAAACCCCAUUUUCUUCAGCCGCAAGAGAAGCUCAAUUUCAGCCAAAGCUUCUUCCUCAUCGGCCAACAAUGCAGAAAAGCAGCGGACCAACGAAAAAGCGGUUAUCAAUUCGAAAACUCUUAUUAAGUCUCCUUUAAGUACGUCAACAAAUGAUGACGAGGAUUCAUCAAAGCUAAAGCUAAAAGAAAAGCCGGUGACCGGCGCGAGAAGCAUGAGGAGGAGCAGCAAAGGGCGGCCUAAUGUGAGCAAGCCAGAGCCUACUCCUAAUAGUAGCAACAACAAGAGCUCAAGCUCCCAGCAACCGGGUUCAAAGGAUAAAGGAGAUAAAGCAGAGGCAGCAAAAGGGGAUAAAAAGAAGUCUGAAGCAAUUGCCAGUACAAAAAAGAGUGGUGCUGCAGACUUCUUGAAGAGAAUGAAGAAGAACUCGCCCACCAAGGGAACGCUGGUAGAGGCCCUGAAGAGUUCACGGGAAAAUAAUAGUAAUAAAGGUGGUAGAAAAGAUCAGCCGAAGAAAAAGGUUGAUGAACGGAAAGAUGGGCCGGCGAGGCGAAGUGGCGGUGGCGGAGGUGGACGGAAACAUGUAAAGGAGGAGAGUAGUCCGUUGAAGAAGAACGCUGGGAGGCCACCUAAGAAAGGGAAAGAUGUGGUGGUAACCGGGGGCAAGCGUGGGAGGGAAGGCGGUGAAGGGGAAGGGUCCUCAAAACGGCCUAAGAAACGAUCGAGGUAGGUUAGGUUAGAUGGAAAAAGUUGCAGAAUUGAUGGUUUUGUAUAUUGUAGUAGCCAUUAGAUUUCACAAGUUAGUCUUGUCAUUAGGUUGGCUGUGCAUUUUGCUUCUUAGGUUUAUUGAUCUGUAGGAUGUAUCAUGUAAAAACGGUGUUUUUUUCGGCUGUAUAACCUUUUAUUUAUUCUUUUUUUUUUUGCCAGAAAAAAAAAGAACUCUUAUGUUAAUUAACAUAUAGAAGCUCUGAUUAAAGCUGAAUUUCGUGUUUAUUUAUUGGAGGGUAUUAGCACUAUAUUUCCACUUUACAUAUUUAAAUCUAUUUGUCUUGCCUUUUCUUCCUUCCUCUUUCUAUUCUCCAAAGUAAUUCUCCUUCCUCAAUUACAUGUAUUUAUUGUGAAGCCAAUUUUCUUCAACCAAUGAUGAUUAAAAAAAAAAAUCGGCAUCUGACCAGAAAUUUUGUCUUUUAUUUCCCUUGACCAGAAUGCAUUAGUUAAAAGUAAUUUUAUGGUAUUUUUUAUUUUACAACAUUACAUGCAUGUGCAAGUGGAAGGGAAUUUAGAUCACAGUUAAACCUUGAAAUGUGGCUCAAGUGAAAAGUUGUUCUAUUGCUUAAGCCAACUCUUACUGUUAAUUAAUUUUUUUUAAAAAAAAAGUUUUAAACAUGUCUACGGUGUACAGACAACAAAGAUUGAAGUAGAAAUACAACAUAUAGUGACGUAUUGUCAAUCAUGCAAUUACCAAGUCCAUUUUAUGUUUUUAUAGCUCCACCAUUUUUUUCGUGCAAUAAUUUUAGAAACUUUCCUAAGCUUUUUGACAAUUUCACUUAGCAUUCUUGAGAUUUCAAAAAUUAUACAUACUUCCGUCACUCAUUUGAAAUGACAACACUAGUCUUAAUAUUCUAAUAAAACUCCAUUGCUUACCAUGCUUAUACAAAGGAUGGGCUUUAUAAUUUUUCCCUUUCUCCUUCUUAUUUAUUUCUCUUUAUAAUUUCAUUGGAACAUCCAAAAAACUAUUACUAUUGUCCCUAACCUCUAUUCCGAUUAAACAUCCAACUAAUAAAUUUAUUUUUGGCCCCUUGCGAGUAGUCCGACUAGUUUCGUAACUUUGUAAUUAACAGCAGAUCUCGUGAUCAAUUCUUGUGUGCUACCUCGCUGUGUAUCAUUGGAGUAAGGUUCUAUACAGCCGUAGGGGGAUUAGUCUAAUCGCAAGGUUAGAAUAGCCCCAAGUGAAAAGAAAAAUAACUUUUUUUUUAAAAAUAAUUUUUAAUAUCACACAAUUUUUUUGUAUCAAAAUUAAAAUAAAUCAACAAUAACCUAAAAACAAAUGGUCUAAAAUCACUAUCAAACUAUACUAGUUCCACCAUUGUAAAAACUUUUUAAAAAAAUCAGGAUAGCACUUUCUUAUAUAUUUUAAAAAGAAUCUAUAUCCCCAAUAAAGUACUAUAAAAAGUAACCUAUUAUAACUAUAGAUUUAUUAUUAUAGUUAAUUAUCAAACAACAAAUAUUGGCAUGAAAAACUUGACACUCAUUUCUUUUGUAAUUGUGCCAAAUUACUUUACAAUUACUUAGAAGAACAAAUUAAACUUUAUAAGAUAAGGUUUAAGGUAUACAUUAAAAAUUUUGACCAUAUUUUAAGAUUUGAUUACCAAAAGUAUCAAAUCAAGAAAGAUAAGUGUAAUUUGUAAAGCUUUUGAAAGAGCUAAGUGAAAUAGUUAGAAACCUCAGGGAAGAUUUUCAAAAUUAUCACUUUUUUCAUAAGUUCUAGCUAAUUUACCUGUCCCAAGCAAGAGAACACAAGCUCCAAUCACUUUGGUAUGAGCAAGAAGGUUAGAGUUAAGAAACGCGAGUAUAUUACCUGGAAUGUGGGUACAAUGGAGGGAAUUAAACUGUGAGUAUUACAGUUGCAUACUUGGCAAGUUGGCAUAGCUAGACUAAGCCGUGCGUGACCUUUGUGGCAGUCGAAGUACCUAACUCAAUAUUUUGUAAUGUCAAACGAUAGAUGCAAUGUACUAAAGAGUUCAUUUGGUUCAAGGAAUGAUAUAUAAUUGGAUUCCUAAUUCUGCGUGAUCUCAUGUUUGAUUGCAUGUUAUAUCUCAUUCUCAUAUAAUCGAAUUAAUCCCCUGUACAGGCAAUAAAAUAAUUCUGUCGGAAGAGAUGGUACGAGUUUUAUUGAAAUGAGUAAGAGGUAGGAUAAUAACUGUUUGGACUUAUUUAUUCAUACUAUAGAUAAUGCUUUAUUCUAAUAACUUUGCAAACUUAGUCUCUUGCUAUAAUAUUAUCUAAAUUUUGGACUAAUUUGUUUUUCUUAAUAACAUAAAAAAAAUUUGAACAGAUUUACUCCUACUAGUAAAAAAUUGAAGUUAUUGGACUAACUUGCCCAUAUUAAUGAUAUGCUAUAAUUUUGGCCGGAUUUGUCCAUAGUAUUAACAAAACUAAAUCUUUUACUCGAGAAUAUUUACAAUCACAAAUUCCCCAUCGGCUUGUAAACCAACUGUACUCGAGAAUUUUCUUAUGAAACUGGAAUUUGUUGGGAAGGAGAACAGUUAGAAAAUCAAUUGAGGUUUAGUUCACAAGUAGGCGCACUUCAUUCAGUGGGAUAAAAAGAAAAAAGCAUUAAUAUCUAUUAGCCAAAGCAGACAUGGUGACAAGUCGCGGCAAGAAGAAGCAUCUAAACUUACCAUUUGAAACAGUUCUACACAAUUUUCCAGUAGUGAACUAAACAAAAACAAGCAAAAGAAGAUCAAAAUCUUUAUCUUUGAACAGGAAAAGUGAAAACGUUCAUUUUGAGUAAUUCUAAAGUAGUGUCCAUAGGAAAUCUUCAAUUGCAAAACUAGUCGUGGGAGUAAGUUGGAAGGUAAUGUACAAUAAAGUGCAUGCAUUGCAAACUACUUAAUUAAAAGUUCUGAUUCAACUUCAUUGUCUUAAACAAAUCAAAGUCAAUUUUAACAUGAUUCAACUAUGACUAUAUAUAUAUAUAUGUUAACCCUUCAUUUCGAUUUUUGACUGUCGCUGGGAAUUGUGUUUGUUUACCAGAUAGUGUAUGUCAUUUCCACAACCAUGUGCUUUAAAAAAAAACUUGAAGAACGAUGAAUGGUCAAUUCACCGUGGCUUCAGUGUCAAGUCUAAAAUGAAGAGCUGAGUUUAGCAUGUAGCGAACGGGGCCAACACUACUUUCUUCAGUCAGGUUCUCUGUUGUAACAAUAGUCUAGUCUCUUACCAAAAAAAAAAAAGUAUGGUCAAGCCAACAAUUAGCAUAACAUUUAUGCGUUCCAAAUAUUGGAGAUGCCCACAAACCUUGACUUGAGCGACGAAACCCAAGUCCCCAAAAUACAAAAGUACAGAAGCAACACAAUUCCCGGAUCCAGGCGUCUAAAACAGUGCACUUUUAACACAACCAUUCCAGGGGCAGCUUUGAAUUAAAAAAAAAAAAAAAAAAGGGGCUGCAAAAAUUUAGGCAAAGAAAUUACCCAGCUCUAGACAAAAAACCUUUUGUACACGAUUACGUGUCAGUAACAACUAUUAUAAUUUUACAUCAUCACUUGUCCGUGAUAAACUGUUAUCACCCAGCUACGAAUUAGCCUGUUUCUAAAUUACUGAAGGCCUACAAUAAUUCAAUUGCUAAGGCAAAUAAAUGGAAGACCACAUUAUACAACAGAGCUCCAGAUUUUAACUCGGCACUUCAUCACAAUCAACCCUCAUGGUACAGUCCUAUUUGUCUGAU